AUCAGAGCGUCAAUAGUGCAGCACCAGCGCGCAAUAGCACUUGAUUAGGCCUCUCAGCAAUCCCAAUGCAUGAUUGAUCAGAUUUCAUGGUUCAACGACUUCAGCCAUGCCGCCGUAGUAGGACAAUUCAUCCUAUGUUGCAUAGGAGUUGUCGAACCGUCGGAAUUAGAUCUCAUAUGUUCCUGGUGGUAGCAUGUAAAUUUGGCGUGUCAAACUGCUUUGUUGGGUGGGUAUUGGUUAACCCACCUCUCAGAUAUCUGUAAAAGGCCCCAUAGAAACGGAGGAAAUGACAGGGCCCAUGUUGUUUAUACUGAUAUACAGUAGCAUCUUCGUGGGAAGAUGGCUUGAGUUGACCGGAAAAUUACCAAUAAAGCAUGUUGGCUUCAAACUUUAGUUACUACUCCUGUUUGCAUUAUGUUAUCCUGUUUGCGCGGGAUGAUGUCAUCGCUUUGUUUUGCUUUUCUGCAGCAAAUUCUUAUGAUGUUCCCUCGUGAGAAACUAGUAAAGAUUAUGAGUGUUGCAGCGAUGGUAAGUCGCAAAGUAGCAUGCAUUUUCAGUGGCCAGUGGGCGUGGGGCAGCAAGAUGGUGCUGAGUGGAUGCUUUUGACGGGAAGGUCUAAAAUAUCUGCAUAAUCGCAGCCUCACAGGCUUAGUGUAUUUGCUAAUAACAUAAAAUAUCUCCCUCGUUUCGCUAAGGGACACACGGGGCUGCUAUGGAUGAGAGGCGGCUGCUUUGCCAAUGUCCCUGUCGCCGGAUGCUUCUGCUCCAGGCCAACUUCACCACGACUUCAAAUGGAUGUCCGGUUUGGCUGGAUUUUGUCCUUUUGAGGCGGCAAUGGGUUCGCCCAUCCCUUUGAGGCGGCAAUGGGUUCGCCCGUGUUUGUUCUUGUCUGUUGGAUCGUGCGUGCACCUACCGCGCGGUCGCACCCCAAAUCAUGUCCGUGUUGGAUCGUGCGUGCGCCUACCGCGCGAUCGCACCCCAAAUCAUGUCCGCAUUGGACGUGAUUAAAAAACAAACAGAAAAACGUAAAUAAAAUGACUAAAAAAGUAAAUAAACACGGUUAAGAAAACAUAAAACAUUAGUUAGGGGUCACGGCCACAAAACGGCCGAGUUUAACAGUUCACUUAACGGUCUAGUGCUAUAAUUAACAUAAAAAAACGCCGCCCGCACGUUCCUGCCGCGUCCCUCGAUGCCAUGGCCGUCGUCGUCUUCAGUGUCCGUCGGUGUCGUCGUCGUCGCUUACGAGGUCGACGUAGGCCGGCGGCGUCCAGAGGUGGGACGGCGGCGCGUGGUACACGGGGGCGGGCUGGAAGGCCGGAGGUGCCUGCACCACCUCCUCCCGUGGCGAGGCCUCCCGCUCCGGUGACCGCGGCGGCGUGGGGCACCAGUUCACGCUCCCCAUGGCGUCGGCCAUCUCCGGAGCUGUGCACGACCAGCUCCACUGCUGGCCCACCAGAUCCGGGUGGAACGCGGCCACCGACGCGUCCUCCAUCGCCUCCUCCGUCGCCACCAUAUCCAGCUCGGGGAUGGCAACGUCGCCGGCCGCAGAGAGGGCCAUCGUCUCCUCUAGGCCCCGCCAUUGGCGCUCAUCAUGUGUGUUCAUGGAGUCCUCCAUGACACGCUGCAUGAGCCGGGCCUCCUCCGCUGUCAUGCGAGGAGGUGGAGGUGGUGACGGAGACGGGGAAGGCGACGGCGUGGGCGUGAGGCCGCGCACCUGUGUACGCCCGCGCACCUCCCGACGUCGUGCCGGCGAAGUAGGACGCGCGGAGCGUGUCGUGCUUGUCCUGGAGCCAGGUGCCUCGGGGGCGUACCUAUUGUCGAAGUAGAGGUCGUCGGGGAGGAGGCGGCGGCGGCGCUCGAUCUCAUCGCGGCGCACACGGCCGCUCGUUGGCACCGGUGGGAUCGGGACCCGGUCGGCGGAGAGGUGCCAAUUGUUGGGGAGGUGGACGUUACUCCACGGGACCGGCGUCCUCGUCUCCCAGUAGCGCCGGCACACAUCGACACUGAGGUACUGCCGGUCGCGCUCGCCGGUGGGCCUAGGGGCGAUGGUGAAAGGGGCAGGCACGGGGGCGAUGCGGCCUCCUUUUUCACAGAGCAGCGGCGGCGUUCCGACGAGGAGCCAGCCUCGCGGUCGUGCUUCCCCUUGCGGCCGUAGUCCCACAGGCCCAUGGCUGCGAGGCGGCCAGCCGGCGAGUUCGAGGCCAGGGUUUGGGAGUGGCGGGUUUCGAGGAGGCCGCAGGAUGGAGUGGGGAGUGUGGACGACGAUCGGUCCACGACUUCCGCAUUUAAGAACGACCGUGAUGUUUCCCUGGGCGGAUGACAGGCGGGCCCGGCCACGCGUGCGCAUUAAUGUUGGCGGGUAGAAGGUAGGUGGUCGCCUGCCACGCGGCCCCGACGCAGACGAGCGCGUGUCUGUUUGUUGUCCGCCGCGACCCAAAACCGGCGCAUGUUUGCGCUUGAAAUGGUCGGUCCGGACACAAAACGGACAGGAUGGGUUCGGGCCGUCGCGCGCAGAGCCGACCGGUUUGUCUAUUUUACCACAAACGGACGGGAUCGGACGGGAUGGGAUCGCGCGGUGGAGUUGGCCUGACUGCAUGGUUAUUUGCUGGAGUAGUACUAUACUGAGCAUCGAAAGAAGCAGUUUUGUUACCCGAGUGACAAGUUGAGGUUGGAGCGAUCCGAUCUGAUACACAUGUGAUGUGGCUGGUUCAUCUCCGUUGACUUGCAGCUUAGUUCGCAAACGCAAGUAAAAAGGUCUCAGUCCCAGGGUGACCCUUGUUGAGCUCUCGAGCUGUGCAUUCUUGACCAUGACCCGGAAACAAAUGUUUUUCCGGAAGUGAAACAAAUGUUUUUCCGGAAGUAAAAGGUGAUGACAUGGGCCUCAUGUUGUAACACAUCUCGAAGCUGACUGUGAUAUGCCGCGCAGAAAGAAGAAAGAAAGAAAGAAAGAAAGGGGUGUGGAGACGAUGUCUGAACCUUGGACCGGCACUGACUCCAGGGCUUUGCUGUUUCUCUUUCUCGGGUAUGAAAUGAAACAGGGGUUGGUUGGAGGAGUACGAAGAUAGCCGCCGGACAAACUACACCGACUCCUCCGUUCCGUCUUCCGUGGCUUUCCCUUUACCCGGUCCUAGUCAAACGCGUGGGCCGCCUCCACGUACCGGUUUUCCACCUGACAUCGACCGCGAGCUAGAAACAAAUCUACCCGCUUUUCCCAAUUCAAAACCACUGUCAAUGAAAGGAACCGUCUAAUUCUACAGCAGGUUUCUUCACUUUCCGAGAGCAAUUUUCCCCGUCAAUUUUUCUCCCGAGAGCAAUAUACCGGUGCAGUGCUGCGUGAUCUGGGGUUCAGACUUCAGAAACGGACAAAAAACAACCACGUGUUCGUCCCCCACUCUUCAUCCCGGGAAUACUUUGCGCGGCAGACGACUGGACGAGACGAGGAGCAUGUGCGAGUGCGACCCAUUGGUUGGCCCUAGACAACGAGGCAGACCAGCGCCCCUCUUCUCUCUUCAGCCAAACCCAGAUCGGAUCCUUCUAUUCUAUCGUGUUGAUCGAGGACGCAUACGUCUGACCGAGAAAAAGAAAUUAUAUUUCAUUUCAGUUCAGUUCAAGUACUCCUACACACGUGACCCGUGCGGACCUCGCUAUGCAUGCAUUUUCGAUCUCAUCUGCCCCGUCCACAACCACAACCACAACCGCAGCGGGCUCUUUUAUUUGCAGCAACUUGACAGACGUCGUCGCGCUACGACGAUCCGUAUCGCGAUGUUGGUGCACAGAUCUGGUCGAAAAUGUGAUCUGGAAUGGUUUUCUUUGUCAAGUGGGAAAACGCAUCGCACGUGUCGCGAGUGGUUACGUCGUCCCAUCAUCGAAGCGGAUGACAAGCAAGUAAACCCCUGAUCUGAUCGCCGCAGUUCGUAGGAGCAAUCCGACGAGAAAGCUACCGCUCGGUGAGAUAAUAAGGGCCUGUUUGAUUUUAAAUAAGUCACUAACUUAUAAGUCGAAAAGUGAAAAAAGUAACUUAUUUUGUCAAAUAGGUCUAACUUAUAAGUCACCCCAACUUAUAAGUCAUAAGUUGCUUCACCUCAACUUAAAACUUAUAAGUCAUCCCCUUUUACGUAGGUCCCACCAUUUACAUGAUGUGGAUUGGUGUAAAAAGGUGUAGUCAGGUGACUUAUAAGUCAGGUGACAAGUCACGCCUGUUUGGUUGUCACCUGACUUAUAAGUCAGGUGACUUAUUGGAACCAAAUAGGCCCUAACAACUCCACAUUAUCUAUGUACCUCAUAAGAAAUGUUUUUUUUAGCACAAGAAGCUAAAACUUCAAACAGUGCACGAAGCACUUGGGAAUCAUCGUCACGCCUAUUGCAAUUAUUGCGUCUGUGUCAUGUGUCGUCUAAACUUACUUAACAAUGAAAUCAUAUAUAAGCUUUGCAUAUUCACGAAAAGAGAACACUUGAGAAUCCGAUGUUUGAUUUCUCUUCCCAAGUAUUUUCAUAGUACUAUGGUUUGACGAAUUCUAUACUAUAGGGGCCCAUUCGGUUUGGAUGAAAUCAAAACGUAGGAAGUAAAUUCUAAGAAAUUGACUUUGCCUCGUUCCUAUGCGCAAAAUAAGUUUUGAGUGGAUCUGUAGUUUCUUUCAAAAACACAGGAAAUAAGUAGUACUCCUACGAAAUUCUUUUACGCAUUUCCUACAAACCAAAUGCAUAUAUAGAAAAGUUUCUUUCAAAUCCUUGUUCCUAUGUUUUUCCUAUGAAAAUCCUCCAAACCGAACGAGCCUAAGAGCAUCUCAGCCGUUAGCCUUCCCCCCCCCCCUCCCCGCUAGAAAAAAGCGCCGGUUGGGGGCGAACCGACGAUAUUUUCGGCGUGGGGGGCGAUCGGGUUCCCAGCCGCCGCCCCCAGGUCGCCCCGAGACGCCCUUUUGCAAAUAUUUUUAAAGACAAAAUCGGCCAAAAUUUGGCAAACACAACAUAGAUUCGGCGAUAUUUAGGCGUUCCACAGUUUUUUUUUGCAUAUUGAAAACAUAAUUUACUAAAAGAAAAAAAACUGCUGCUGCCGCGCCUACAGGCCGAAGAGCUUGCUGAAGGCGUCGUACUCGCCGUCGUCGUCGUCCUCCUUCUCCUUCUUCACUCCGCGGCCGUCCCUGCUGGACCCCUGCCCGGGGUCGCCCUAGCGAACUGGUUUGGCCGGCGGCAGCGCGUCGUCAUCGCUGUCCUCGAGGACGAUGACGCCUCCCUCGCCGCGGCCACUGCGACGAGCAGCGAUCUCCUUUAGGGCGCGGCGCUGGCGCUCCAUCUCCAGCCGGGCCCAAAACUCCCGUGCCCACUUCAUGGCGGCCUCGUCGUCGAGCGCAUCAUCGUGCUCGCUUUUCACGGCAGCGAGCCCCGACUCCGUUUUCGGCUUGACGAGGCGGGAGUUAGGAGUCGAGGAGGAGGCACGACCGCCCUCGUUGAAGACGAGGGCGGUGCCGCGGGUGCGCCGACCGAGCGGCGUUUCCACGAGCUCGACCUUGAUGCUGACGAGCGCCGGCGAUCCAGAGGAGCGGGAGGAGGAACGGGAAGAGGAGGAGGAGGACCCGCCCAGCAUGUGCCUCGGCAACCACGGGCUGCCACUCCGGCGGGGGGCCGGGGCCGGGGCCGCCGGGUACUGGAGCGGCGGAUUGUUGCCUCCCUCGAGGUACUCGAGGACGGCGUGGAGCGUGCGGCCGGGGACGCCCCACCACAGGCGGCAGCCGUCGCUGUUGCGCCCCCUUACCAUCGGCGAGUUGUUGGUGGAGGCAAGCCGCUCCUCCUGCCGGCGUUCGAAGUACGCCACCCAGUGCGCGUGGUCGUCGGUGGCAUACUCCGGGAGGUCCCGCUCCUCCUCCGUCAGCGAGGCCCGAACUCGGUCGAUCUCGGCGUGGAAGUAGCCGAGGUGGUCGACGUCAGGCCGCGGAGGGACUGGGACGCCCCCGACGCCGAGCCUCCACCGCCCCGGCAUGCGCAUGUCGGGCGGCGUCGGGUAGUUCGCCUCGUGGAGGAGGUUGGCUUCCCACUCGUGCAGGUGGCGGCGGCCGAAGCCGUUGGCCGCCGCUCCAUCGCCGGGGAACCGCUCUCCCAUCGACGGGGCUUGCGCGCGAUGGCUAGACAGGGAGAGAGGGGAAGAGAGAUCGUCGGCGGCGAGAGAGGGGCUGCGGGGCGAGUGCGUCCACCGGCGAGGGAGGGGGGAGGCAAACGUGUGUACGCGUGGCGGGAGAGGACGCGUCGCCGCACUGCGCCACCCGUGAGGAAUCAAUGGAAGGCUGACCGGCGUCAACCUUGGCAUUGAUUCCCCGCGGGAAACCAAGGCAAUGAGGGCGACGAUGCGCGAAGGUCGCUGACUCGGCGGGCCCGCUGUUCUUUCGCACCAAAAACGAUUUCCCCUUGUCCGGCCUGGGUCGGCCGGCGCCAGUUCCGGCCCUAACCGACGAAAAUUGGCAUCUUGAAACACAACUGGGCCGUUUUUCAACGUUGACGCUAAAAAUUGAUCUAGGGACUGUUGGGGACGCAGCUGGAGAUACUCUGAGUUGCAGUUUCGAGACCGGCAGAUUGCGCCACCAUCCACGACGAACUAGUAAUCAUUUUCCUUCUCCCACACAAAAAUCUGCCAAAAUAUACCAGCUAGUCAAAACAAUCACGGCUCCAGCAUUAAUGUGCGGUUUCUCUCUGGAUUACCAAGUCGCUGUGAUGAACAGUGAACUCGUGUCCUGCCUACAGGACACCGCACAUGAAGAAACGUCGUUGUUUCAGCCGCUGGAAUAGUGUUCAUGUGCAGCCACAAGUGUGGAGAAGAACAUCUCGCACAAAGAAAUAACAUCAUUGCGAAGAACAAGGCACUCAAUCGUCAGCAACCUUUCGAACCGAGCGAUCCAAACGCAUUUUGUCUUUGAACACCGUAUCUCAUCUGGCCGCGGAGCAGUCUGGACAUUCGUUUUCUCGCAAACCGAACACAAAUAAGGACGAGUUUUGCAGGCGUCCUGACCGUUGCCACGUACGUGUCUGCCAUCCCGGACCCACCGGAAAAUUAUCCUGUGCCCGCGCCCUCUCCCGCGCGAAGCAGUUCCAGCACAUUCAUGCCGCUCAGCGCUGCUCGAAAGCACCAACACUACAUCAAUGUUGGUUUAGAGCGGACGUGACUUCUCACUAGAGCCGACAUUGAAGCGGCGCACUGGCCGAGAACGCCGCCUGGUCUCCUUGUAUGUUUCAAUGCUGGAGACGCGUGACCGUACGAGACUGGACGGCUAUGCACUACAUUCAUACUAGAUCCCGCCUGUCCGCCUGCUGACAUUAAACCGGCUCGAAGACCGGAAAACCCACUCCGAUGCCCGCAUUGACACACCACGCCGUGUGUCCCGGCCGAUUUCCUCUAUUUAAACGAUGUCUCCUUGCCCGACGCGACCAACACGAAUGCACCACGUCCGCCAUGACCGCGAGAUCUAGAGCUAUGUGGGAGAGCCUCUUGACGGAGCAGAAAUAUGAGUUGGUCGGCACUGCUACCGGCUGGCAGACCCGUCGUGCAUGACGAACUAAGGCAAGCUUGUCAUCUAGCUCACUGGAGGUUAGGGACGAGGACCAGACGAUGGAGGAGGCGUCCGACGAUGAGCUAGCACCCCUGCACUUGAACGCCGUCAUGGCGGAAGAGCAGUCGGCGACGCAUGUGUCGGCGUUCCGGCAUGCGGGGGAUGAGCGAUGCUACAACCUAUAGUUCCUCGACGAGAUUGGCUAAGGGGAAAAUCGAUGGCGAGCAGACCAAAGACAAAGUCGUCACGACCAUGGCCGUGGAGGAUCCAGGCUUCCCGGAUGAAUAGCGGGCGUCGUAUCAGUCCAUGCAUAACUCAUGUGGGGUCCGCUGCGAGCGAUGGAGUCUGCGCGUCCUGCUGGCGGAGAGAGACGUCCUGUUCACGGAGAUCAAUGCGACAACAGACGAAGAGGAGGCGCAGACGAUCGCAGACGUUGCCAGCUCCACGAUGGUCGUGAAUCCACCACGGUUCGCGCCCCGCCGCCACGACCACGAGGUCGACACAUCCAUGUUUGACGGUGUCGACAAGGCGGAUUUCGAUGAGGAAGAGUAGGACAUGGGAGCCACCACGGCUUGGGUUCUAGGAAGGACACUUCUAUUCUUUUCCUUCGUCUACAUCACUUCCCAGGGUUCACGGUCGGCGAGUGAGUUUGCUUGACAUGGGGAAGACAUGAGGUGGGACACAGACUCCCCCACCACAAGCGAUCAUUCAAACUAUGUUAUAAAGACUCAUCCACUUUUGUUUAGUUGAAAUAUGUCGAAACUGCAAUGACUCUAGUAUGGUUUAAAAAAAACAUCCAGUUUGCAUGAUAUUUGUCCGAUUUGUUCAAAUCUACUUUGAAAUGUAUGAGCAUGGUUGGAUGGACGCCUUCUAUAUCACUGUCCGCGGACGUGUCCAUGAAUAUAUACGAUGUUCAUUUUAAGGGUACACUUUGGAGAUGCCCUAAGUAUGCAAGCCAUCGAGCCCGGUAACGUGCCCUCUUUUACACGAGAAAUUACAAUUCGCUAGACUAUAUGGAAAAGAUGAGGGAGUGGUUUGAUAAGUCAAUCUUAGGUCCGUCAUGUAGUUUAGAGAAGACAAUAAAAUGAUGUGUAAUUGGUUAUUUUCUAAUCUUAUCUAUAAUAACAAGAUAUCCCUAAAUAUGUGGCGAGACAUGUUGUUGUGGAGAGAUUAUAUUUUAAUUAAAGAAAACAAACCUUUUAUUCUGGUUUGUCUUUCCUCCAUCAUAGCAUUUAUCUUACGUGACACUUCUAAAACAACACCAUUGCACAUGCCCUAGUAACAUCCUUUUUAUCACUUAUAUAUACUAUCAUAAUUUGUUUAUGUGAAUGUUUAUUUGCAAACAUUUUCGCUAGUGACACAUCAUAACUAGCAAGCACAGAGUUUCUGUUAUUUUUUGUUGAAAAAGGACCCGUGCAGGCAAACAAGUUAAACUUGGGAUAUAUCAUCUAACAUACUAGAUGAUGCCCCGCAUUACCGGCUUACCGCAGGAAUUGUUUGCAAUAUAGUAUAAUUAGAUUUGGUUAUAUGGAUAUGAAUAUUUAGAUUAAUAAUAUAAGAACUAAAACUAAACAAAGAACCAUGCAUGCAAACAAAGUUAAACUUUGGAUCGAUCAUCUAACAUACUAGAUGAUACCCCCGCAUUACCGCGGGAAUUGUUUGCAAUAUAUCACAAUGAGAUUUGGUGAUAUGAAUAUGUAUAUUUGGAUUAAUAAUAUAAGAACUAAAACUAAAAAUACAUAUGAUUAUGGCAUAACUAUAAAAUAUUUAUUGAAUAUGAGUAGCAUAAUAUAAUUAAAAUAUUUGAGUCCUUUGCUAGUUUGCAUGCAUGAUUGUAGGUUGAGGUGGCAUCUAUAUAUGAAUAUUGCAUAAUUAUAGAAUAUUUAUUGAAUAUGGGUAGCAUAGUAUAAUUAAAAUACACUACAAAAAUACACUUCCGUGAUGAUACGUGUUUAUCACAGUAGGUCACAUUUUCUGUCAUGCAUGUACAUCCAUGACGAUUUUAUGAUAGAAUCAAGAUAGUCAUACCUGUGCUGUCGUAUAAGUGUUCCAUGACAUUACCAAAAUUAUCAUCACGGAAGUGUCCACUUCGCGUGUCAUAGAAGUGCUUUUGUCAAGGGUGACCGACAUGUGGCAUCCACCGUAACGGAACGCCGUUAAGCUAUUGAGUCCGAUUUUGGAUCCGAUAACCCGUUAACAGCCCCGACCAAUGGGGAUUUUUCACGUGUAAAAUCAUCAUUGGCUGGAGGAAACACGUGUCGGCUCACCGUUGGGAUAGAUGUCAUCCACUCAUUGGACCGAAGGCGCCUAUGAUACGUUGACACGUGGCACGACCCAACAAAGGCACAUUCCUGUGAAAAGGCCAGCCCGUUUGACUUGGUCAAAAGGUGGAGGACCGCCCCACGGGAAGCCUGUUAACGGCAUGUUCGCAUAUAGCUCAUUUACAGCCUGCUAACCCAGGGUCCGUUAUGACCUAUUCGAAUUAGGCCCAGUAGCGUCAUCUGGGCCGUCCAAUAUGAUUCCAGCCCGUUUUAAGUUCCGGCCCAUGUAUGGCCCAUGACGUCUUUCGGCCCAUAUGAGGUCCUUUGUAACUCUUGGCCCAUUAACGUCCCGUAGUGAAACUGGCCCGUAAUAAACAGUGUAUCACUUUAUACCCAUUAACAACCCGUUAUUUCAUUGGGCAUUUUGCAGCCCAUGUUAUCUUUUGGCCUUCUCAGGACCCAUUUAUUCUUGAGCUCAUUUCCAGCAUUCGGUUACUUACGGCCCGUUACUGUCAUUUUCUGCUUGUGGGCCAAAUUCAGCCCGUCGUUACAGUCGGCCCGUUUGUGGCCCGUUAAUAUGUUGGGCCGUUUUUAUAGCGUCAUCAAAUACGGCAUAUUAACGACGACCCAUUAUGGUCCGCCCAUGAACGGACGAUUCCAACUCUAGCCCGUUUAUGGCCAUAAUGCGGUAUGUUACUGGCUCAUGUUUGGCCAAUCGAUCAUAUGGCCCGUAUAAGGCCCAUUGAUGAUAUGGCCCGUAGAAGACCCAUUGUUUCUACGGCCCGUAGAAGGCCCAUUGUUUCUACGGCCCGUAGGAGGCCCAGUGUCAAUACAGUAAAUAUGUAGCCCAUGGUUAUUGUGGCCUAGUUUUAAAAAAUAGGUUAUUGCGGCCACUAGCAAACCGCGGAAAAAGAACUGCACUAACUACAAGCAAACAAAUAAACAAGACAAUAAGGAAAUAAAUAAGCAAGCAACUUAUGCUAGGCUAUCACGACUAUUACACAUAUUACAUCCACUGGGCAUCAAAGUUCGCCACCAGUGCAAAUAAACGAGCCGACAAAAGAAUAUUCAAAACCGAGAGCACUUCAGAAGGCACUAGGCCUAGCCAGGUCGGACCCCGCAAACAGCCGAAGAAGCUGAUUAGACCUCAGUUGUGUCAACGAUAGAUGCUUCAUCCCUAGCUGUAUGCUACGAUAGUGCGCAAGGCAGUCCUCUGACAUCUUCAUUACAUCUUUGACUUCAAGUCAGAGCCAAGCUGAAGCAAGCCUUUCCGCUUUAAGUUGAGACUGAAGAAGUCGAACUGAUUGAGGCAGCGACUGCACAGAGGUUGUAUCACACCUGCUGGUGAGUAGCUUCAACUCACUGUCUUCAUCAAGACAGGACCUUGGGGUCAUCUCGCUGUCCUCAAGAUGGUUUGGCUCACUAUCUUUCCUAAAGUUCUGCCUGGCAUAAGAGAUAAGACUCUGAAAGAGAAACAAGGAGACACGUAACAGGUUUCACAAUUAUAUAAGCAAAUAAAUGGAUCUGUUCUUCAUAAGGAACAUGUUUUUACAACUACAAUUUAAAACUAGUAGUUGUUGCAAACAUCCAAUCAGAUGUAAACAACAAAAUAAACAGCAGCGGAGGAAAUGAUGCCUAUCCAAAUCUAUACUAGAACAAAGUUUGAAGGCUUGAGAAGGAUGAACUUACAUUACAUGUUAACACGGGCUGGACAAAGCCCUUCUCCAUGUUGAUGGAAGGAUAAUUCAAAAAAAUUCCCAAAGAAAAUUCUUUAUAAGCGUUGCCAUUGUUCUACAUUUUGCAAAGAGUAAAUAUAGAUCAAAUAAUAUUGGAAGAAACAGAGGAUAAUGAAGCUCAGGUGCAGACUAAUGAUACAUAAUCAAAUAGCAAUUAAUUAAGUACAAUGUUACAAGGCAAAAGGGCGAGAGGUACUGACAAGAGCAAUGUAGAGCCCAAUAUUGUUGUGAGAUCGUAUGAUCCUUUGAGCAAGGAGAUUCAUCUGAAAUUAGUUUUCAUACAAGAGAGAAUAUAAGGCGCAUGCAUAAACUUAGGAGUUCAAAUUUUGAAUUGAUAUCAUGGACAGUACCUGACGCUGGGCUCUCAGCAGUUUUAAUAGGGGUUGGGCCACUGGAGUUGGGGUAAAGUGUGAUACAGUUGGGCCUAUGUUUUCUGUGUCUGCUGAUCUAUCUGAUUUAAUAGGUAUCACUACCUUUUCCAAAUACUUAGUUUGUACUCCUUGAGGAUCUGCACUCACCCUCUUCCUUUUGGACAUCUAUUACGAAAGAACAACAUUUGACUGGACAAACAUAGUAUGAUGCCACAUGGAAUAUAUACAGAAAAUGGAUAGGUAUGGCAUAUACUCAUAUAUGAUGCUUAAACUAAGAAGAUGGUGUAACAAAGUAGAAGUAAUGCAAGAGGUCAGAUGCAAAAUAUGUGCGACCAAUACAACCUUGCCAAGUUAGAGCAAGCACCUUGAUGGGUGAAUAAGAUAGGCCAUCCUCCACCAUGCCAAGUUUGUUAGCUAGUGGAUUGUUCCGCAAUAUUCCUCUCGUGCGCCCAUUCUCAUAUUCAUUUUGAUAAUGUUCAAUAUAUGACAUGCAUGAAAACAUAAAAACAAGUGAGAUUAUCUUUGUAAUGCAGAAGUGAUUCUAAACCAAUAUUGCCUCCCUGUAAACCCCUUCGUGCUAUCUCUGCAAUUCUUUUAAGAGAUGCCAUGCAUGCUAUAAUUUGGUGUGUGCAUUAAUAUAAUGUGGCCUACUACUAAAAAUAUGAGAGCUCCAGAAGUGACGACACUUCGCAGAUGACAACUUCAACAUAUAGUAAAGAAGAACAAGUCGACCUGACCUGACAGAUUCAAAAUAUACUAAGGGAGAACAACUCGACCUGACCAGUCGACUGCAAGAGAAGAGGAUCAUCUUAAAGAAGAGCAGAGGAGGAAGCAGAUUGAAGAUAUUACAAGUAUUUCAAUACAAUGUCGGUUGGCCACCCAUGAUGAACCAGAGCGCAAAGAGAAAUACUAUUCCUUUCGGUCUCUCCAUAUGUGUCUCACAUGCAUUUCGAAACUAAAGUAGGAACAUUUAGCUGACCAAUUAAACAUCUCUCAGUUUUACUAAUAUCAACAUAAUAUCAGAUUUGAAUUUGUACAACUAAGCUUGUUUAGCUCGAUGGGUGAAGCAGUGCUAUUACGACACGAACCUCGUAGGCUGAUUGUGGUCAUCAUAAAAUGGGGAAACCAUAAGCAUGAUGAGUAUAGUGUUGACCAUGGCAGUGGGAUGGGAGAUCUGAAGCUGCAAACCGUGUAAAGGAUAGUUAGCAACCGAUAUUUGCUUUGAAAUAACAACUAAGAUUUGGUAUGGACAAGAAAGUACAAUCAACAAGUGACAAAGAAAUGCAAUUCUACUGUCUCUCUCUAUAUGUCGCGACAUGCAUUUGGAAACUCAAGUGGGACCUUUACCUAACCAAUUAAAUGUGUCUGUUAACUAAUAUCAGUAUCAUAUCACAAUCAUAUUUGAACAACUAAGCUUUGGAAUUUUGAGUGUUGUGUUGUUUAGCUUGAAGGGUGGAGUAAUGCUAGUACGACAGAAAGCACCUAUGUAGAUCAUAGUGGAGUAGAUAAAAGGGGAACGACGGCACCGAUGAAGCGAGAGGACGCGAUGAAACGAUCCUGGUCCAGCGACGUGGAUGAGAGACGUACAUAUCUUGCAGUGGACGACGGGGUAGGGUAGAGGCUCCAGCAAGGUGGAGGAUGGGGUGGCGGACGGAGGAGGAUGACCACAGUGGGGAGGUUGUCGUGGCGCCGAUGAUGUAUGAAUGGGGAAAUGGAGGGGGAGGGGGGAUCUCAAACUUUGGGACGCGCUUCUCUGAAAUGUGGGAAAGUUAUGAACUUAUCUCCCGUUAAAAAUUUUGGACAUCAUGUCGGUUGGGGAUAGGACGGUAAUCUCGCAUCUCCCAAAUAUUUGCCGGUAACGAUUUCUGGCGAGGAGAGGGUGUUUUGCCGCCCACGGUUGGCGCCCACGGUGUAUGAUCGGGGCUGACAGGUAGGGCGGUUGUGUCACGUCUGAGGGAAGUUACACAUCUGCCCCUAUUUAAAAUAUUAGCCUACAUCGAUUUCGGACUAGGAGAGUUUGUUUUGCCGCCCACCGUGUAUGAAUGGGGAAAUGGAGGGAGAGACACAUGUCUUUUGGACGAGCUUGAAUCAAAUAUGUUUCGCCGCCCACGUUUGGCGCCCAACGUGUCUGAAUGGGCUCAGAGGCCGUCAUGUCACGUCUGAUUGAAGUUACUAGUCUACCCCUAUCGUUAGCAGCAUAAAUCCGGUCGAUAAGGAUGUCAGGUGUCAGGGGUAGACAGUAAUUUCCAUGUCGCAAACACUUGCUUCAGGCAGCCCACAAAUUAUAGGUGAGUGUUUAGCCGCUUCAUUCAAAACUUGGGAGAAUUAGCAUUCACGUUUGCCCUAGGCCCUGGCAACUAAAUUCAAAUCCAAUUUGUAUUUGAUUACGAAUAUCCACAGAUAAUUCUAUGUUUUGUUAUUUAUUUCUUCAAAACCACAACAAAGAUUUAUUCCACCUUUAUAUAUGAUUAUGAUUUAGAAAGGCCGUGAUCUUCGAAUUCAGUAGGUUGGAUACACUUUCAGUCAAACAGUUAUUUCAUCAAAUACAAUAUGCUCACACGAAAAAUAGUUCACCUUAUGUCAAUCAUACAAGUACUGAGGAUUACCUCGCCUAAAAAAUUUGGAUCAUUACAACACAUGGACAACAUAGGGGGUCUUACAACAUAAUCCAUUCAGAGACAUGACACAACAUGCAAGUACAAUGAUCUAAUGACAAUUUCAACUGGUAUCUAAAGAAGAACCGGGAUUACCCUGGGCUUCAGAUAGCAGAAACAGCAGGACCUCCUCCGUCUUCAAAUGCAACAUUCUUACUUCCUCCAAUUCUUGGGUUGCUUGCAUAAUGUGUGCCACUAAUUGCAUAAUUUCCAGCCUCAAGAUAAAGAUUACCUCAUUCAUGGCAGCCACACCUUCUCUUCCUGCCUCUAGUAGAGCCUCAAGAACUAUAAUAUCUGUGCUCAGACUGCUCUCCGGUGGUGUUGCCUCUGAACUGCUACCAUCUAGUAACAUGGAUGGUGCAUUGCUUCCACAAAUAGAUUCUGGGGUUGUACAUUCUGUCCUAGUGUGAACGGCAUCCUGAAAGGUUUCCGCUGGACAUAAGUAAGAGAUAGUUAUCGCAUGAUCCACGCAGUAAUCUUACAUGGUAAACGACAUACUAAUUAUUGUCGAGCAUGGCAAGCUAUAUUUAAAUGGUUCGAAGCAGCAUCAGUCGAAAAGAAAUUAAAAUGGUAAGAUGAAACUAGGGAUGUAAGUGGCAAAUAAAUGACAUCCGCCAGUCCCAUCUAGUUAGUUUAUGCUAGCUCCCUAGUUCAUUUUCCUCAAAAAACAAAAACUCUUUUGAACUAUCAUACCACUAGUGGACUUUAAUCAGGAUUAGACGGGACCCAGUUGACAUCCCUAGUUGAAAGGGAGUGUACCACCGCUAUAUUUAAGUUGCCAAGGCAUCUAAGCACUUGAAAUAAUCUAAGAAAGCACUUAAUAGUGUGGCCUCAUAUAAACUACGAAGACAAUCUUGUGAUGAAGUUCAGAGGAAAAGUUAUGGACUCAAAUGAACUAGGCGUGCAUUUCUUUACGAUAGUACAACAUGCACUGCUGACAUGUUGGCCAACUCAGGUAUAGCGUAACAAGUAACAAGCAAGCAUUUGAAUCAAGCAAUACAGCAAAGCAGACAACUGAACUAUUUGUAAUUCUGUAGGAUUACAGGCUGAGGACACAAGCCAAGAAAGCAGCCCACUCGCAUUACAUUUCACAUGUACUAAAACACACUGGCUUACCAUAUGUUGUUGUGAAGCCUCGCUGCUGUUGCAAUGUUCUUUGAAGAUAUCGUCAGCAUCCGGUGGUUGCAAAUCUAGUUGUUGUAGUUUAUUUUGCACCCUCUAUUUAGGUAAAAUUAAUUUUAAUCGCAUGCACUGGUCUGAAUUGAUCAUCAAUGGUUCAUCUAAACUAAUGAAAGAAGGGUGUGUGCAUACACGACAAUAUAUCUGCUUCCCUCUAUUUUUAUGCUUGUUCGAGAUGCCAGCCCCAGAAGAACAAAUAUUUUGCUUGAUGGGGUUGGCAGCUCCAUAAUUAAUAGAAGCAUCAAAUUAGUCAUGCAACUUGGGAAGAUCAAGAACACACAUAGAAGUAAUGAAUAGAGGCUCGGAGCAGUGAUGCAAUAGCUAGCAUUAGAAAAUGUUUGGUAAAACAGACAAAAAACAGCGGAACCAGAUGCUAGUUUGCUGAUGUGUAAUUAAGCAUAGAGAACAUGAAGCAGUCUGAUGGAACCAACAGGUGGCAUCAGAACAACACCAUCAUCAUAAAUAUAGCAUGCAAGAAGUAAAAUAGUAGGCAGUGAUAUCUAGGAAGUACAAUAAUACUUAGGACAAAACUAAAGCAUAUUAACUAUAUGUGCACUGGUAUGUAAUUUAGCACAUGUAACAUGUUCACUGCCAGAAGUAUGGCCCUACAGGUGCAAGCAGAAUAACGCGUCUCAUGAAAAAUUGAAUGAUGCCCUAAAGAAAUUCAAAGGUGCGGUGCUUAUGCUAAGAAAGUGAACGUAGGCGCCGGCCGUUGGAUAGUAGUACCUGAUUCUCGGUGGCGUAUGGGUAUUGUUGUCAUACUUGAUAGCUAAGGAUCAUCGAUGGUGCUCGUGUUGCGGUUGAGUUUGGGCCAGCUGUCACCGUCGCUGAAGCGGCUCCGGUGCUACGGUUGCGGCGCCUGUUGACAUACAAGAAAGCUCAUCUGUGGUAAGUGAACAGUUGCACGACAAAGAGAAAAACUGAAGGAGUACAAAUCAAAAUAACCUGAUGAGGCUGUAGCGUCAAUAAUGUAGGGCCAGUGGAGUUGAAUAUGGCGUCCGUGGAGCGGGUCCGGUGCAGCGGACGAAGGCUUCGGCAUGCGCGUUGUACAGUGCUUUCGGUGAGGCGGAUCUAUUGCGGCGGACAGGGGCUUGUAUGAAGGGUCGGCGAUGGGGCGAGGGACUUAGUGAAGGGCCUACACUGUGGUGGACGAGGGCGCCGGUUAAGCAGAUUCGGUGCGGUGGAACAUGAUGGCGGUCAAGGAGAUCUGGAGCGGUGGACAAGCCAGUCGCUGAAGCGGCUCCGGUGAAGUGGUGAGUUGCUAGUUGGGGUUCCAAGGUGCGGAAGGUAGAUCCGGCAGGGUGUGAGGUCCACCUCUGCGGCGGAGGACUAGAUUCAGCGGCUUGCCGUGGUUGGGGGGGGGGUCGAGGACGGGAAGGGGAGGGGCUCUGGGGAAGAAUGUUGGGGGCAAAGAGGGGAAAACAAUGGAGUUAACAAAGCAGCCCUUUUCCGUUCAUGUGGCAGGGGUAAAACAGGAAUAUCACAGGGCUAAACUUUCGGGCGCGAGAUAUUUCGAUGUGAGCAGGAAGUUUGAAAGCUUUUGGCGCCUGAAAUUAUAUUCUGCUCUUGUAUGGCCGACUAUGAUAUCAUGGCCGAGAAUUUGUUUGUUUUGCACGCAAAAAAAGUGCAAGUUUUGAAAAUCAAUGUCUCCAACUCGAAACUUACAUUGUCCAUUCAAUUCAAAUAUGGAUCAUUGAGCUAGUACAAGAAAAUACCAUCAUCCGGUCCAAUUCAAAUGGAAUUCCAAAUGUGUUUAUCCUAAAUAUGAUGACAAAAGCAAAAAUGUGUAUGUGUAUGAAUAAAGUGGAUGAUUAUAAAGUUUGAACAUGCCCGUAUGUGUAUAUCUCUAGGUUUGAUAUAUGGAUUUGAGAUCACGAAAUCCCGGCUUAAAAAAUGUACCUCCAUUUAAAUGAAUUACAAAAGCUAAUGAUGGAAUCGAAUUCUAAAAUUCCAAUCUUAGGUUUGUAAUUCUGGUACAUCAAGGUAUAUCACGCAUGUUCAAAAGUAUCGUUAUCUCAUAGUCCAAACUGUGAAACAAAUUGAUCAACCAUGAGUGCACACACUAUUGACCAUAUAUAUCUCAAUUACGCUAAAGUCCCUCAAAUAUAGACACCCCAGUCUUUAUCUGAAGCCACCCCUCCCCCCCACACACAGAGAUGUCAUUCUCUCCCCCAGACACGAACACACAAGCACAUUAACACCCCUCUCUCUUCAAAAGUCCAGACCCCAAUAUAGGUCUCUAUCACUUUGUCUCUCGGGCAUGAACACAUCUCUUCCCCCACUCUCUAGGUCUCCCGGCAUCUCUCUUUCCCAAGCACACACACUAUGUAGAGUGUAUCUUUCCCAUACACACAAAACGUUGCCCCCAAAUGUCCAUCUCCCUAAUUAUGUGGUUCUCGCACACUCACCUCACACACCACCCCCACUGCAAACAAGCACACUUUGUCUCCUUGUGCACCACUCUCCUCUUUCUAUCUCUCCCACAUGUGGACCCGCCCCAGCUCCUUCCCUGUAUACAUAUAUGUUGUGACUCUUUCCAUAGCUCCCUAAUGUAUCAUCGUUCUCAAUCUCGCACAUUAUUCUCUACACCAUCUAUUCUAGAUCUCUCAUGAAGUCCCUAUCACACACACACACGAUGACUCGCUUCCCUUGCGUCUCCGUACAUAGGCUAAUUUUGAACAACAUCAACAUUGUCUCCCUAUCUAUACACCAUUUAUGGACACAAACGACCCCUCUCUCGCCCCCUCUCUUCCUCUCUUUCUCUCUCUCCGUCGCUAGCUCUCUCUCUCUCUCUCUCUCUCUCUCUCUCUCGCUCUCACACCCCUCUCCCACACACACUCGAUGUCUCUUCCAAAUAGUCUUCUCCCCCUGCCCGCACCCAUGCUAUCCCGCUACUAUAUGUUGGAAAUAUGCCCUAGAGGCAAUAAUAAAAUGGUUAUUAUUAUAUUUCUCUGUUCAUGAUAAUUGCCUAUUGUUCAUGCUAUAAUUGUAUUAUCUGGAAAUCGUAAUACAUGUGUGAAUACAUAGACCACAACAAGUCCCUAGUGAGCCUCUAGUUGACUAGCUCGUUGAUCAACAGAUAGUCAUGGUUUCCUGACUAUGGACAUUGGAUGUCAUUGAUAACGGGAUCACAUCAUUAGGAGAAUGAUGUGAUGGAUAAGAUCCAAUCCUAAGCAUAGCACAAAGAUCGUGUAGUUUGUUUAGCUAGAGCUUUUCCAAAUGUCAAGUAUCAUUUCCUUAGACCAUGAGAUUGUGCAACUCCCAGAUACCAUAGGAGUUCUUUGGGUGUGCCAAACGUCAGAACGUAACUGGGUGACUAUAAAGGUGCACUACGGGUAUCUCCGAAAGUGUCUGUUGGGUUGGCACGAAUCGAGACUGGGAUUUGUCACUCCGUAUGACGGAGAGGUAUCUCUGGGCCCACUCGGUAAUGCAUCAUCAUAAUGAGAUCAAUGUGACCAAGUGUUUGGUCACAGGAUCAUGCAUUACGGUAUGAGUAAAGUGACUUGCCGGUAACGAGAUUAAACGAGGUAUUGGGAUACCGACGAUCGAAUCUCGAGCAAGUAACGUACCGAUUGACAAAGGGAAUUGUAUACGAAUUGAUUGAAUACUCGACAUCGUGGUUCAUCCGAUGAGAUCAUCGAGGAGUGUGUGGGAGACAACAUGGGUAUCCAGAUCCCGCUGUUGGUUAUUGACCGGAGAGGCGUCUCGGUCAUGUCUGCAUGUCUCCCGAACCCGUAGGGUCUACACACUUAAGGUUCGGUGACGCUAGGGUUGUAGAGAUAUAAGUAUGUAGUAACCUGAAAGUUGUUCAUAGUCCCGGAUGAGAUCUCGGACGUCACGAGGAGUUCCGGGAUGGUCCGGAGGUGAAGAUUUAUAUAUGGGAAGUUCAGUUUCGGCCAUCGGGAAAGUUUCGGGGGUCACCGGUAUUGUACCGGGACCACCAGAAGGGUCCCGGGGGUCCAUCGGGUGGGGCCACCUAUCCCGGAGGGCCCCAUGGGCUGAAGUGGGAGGGGAACCAGCCCCUAGUGGGCUGGUGCGCCCCCCUUGGCCCCCCCUGCGCCUAGGGUUGGAAACCCUAGGGGUGGGGGCGCCUCCACUUGCCUUGGGGGCAAGCCACCCCUUUGGCCGCCGCCCCCCCUUGGAGAUCCCAUCUCCUAGGGCCGGCGCCCCCCAGGGGGCCUAUAUAAAGAGGGGGGAGGGAGGGUAGCCGCACCCCAAGUCUUUGGCGCCUCCCUCUCCCCAUGCACCACCUCUCCCUCUCGUAGAAGCUUGGCGAAGCCCUGCCGAGAUCGCUGCUGCAUGCACCACCACGCCGUCGUGCUGAUGGAUCUUCAUCAACCUCUCCUUCCCCCUUGCUGGAUCAAGAAGGAGGAGCCGUCUUCCCAACCGUACGUGUGUUGAACAAGGAGGUGCCGUCCGUUCAGCACUAGGAUCUCCGGUGAUUUGGAUCACGACGAGUACGACUCCCUCAACCCCGUUCUCUUGAACACUUCCGCUCGCGAUCUACAAGGGUAUGUAUAUGCAAUCCUCUCUCUCGUUGCUAGAUGACUCCAUAGAUUGAUCUUGGUGAAGCAUAGAAUUUUUUUAUUUUCCGCAACAUUCCCCAACAGUGGCAUCACGAGUUAGGUCUAUGCGUAGUUAUUAUGUACGAGUAGAACACAAAGCAGUUGUGGGCGUAGAUGUUGUCAAUUUUCUUGCCACUACUAGUCUUAUCUUGCUUCGGCGGCAUCGUGGGAUGAAGCGGCCUGGACCGACCUUACAUGUACGUGAAAGUGCUAGUAUCGACUAGAGGGGGGGUGAAUAGGCGAUUUUUAUGAAAGUCUUCAAAACUUGGAAGUUUCGAAGACAAACAAUAGAAAUGGCCUAGUUAAUAUGCAGCGGAAGAUAAACUACCAUACGUAAGCCAUAGUCAAGUAUGCAAUGAUGUGAAAGUACAUGACUAAUAGCAGCUAAGUAGUAAGGAUCAGGAUGGAAGAUAGUAUGAAGCCAAUCAAUAGUAGUAGUCAAGCAAUGAAGUCAAACAGGUACACAGAUAGGCAAUGACUUCAUGAAGACAAACUUAAGUAAAGGAAGGAAGAGGAUAGAACCAGUCACUUGUUGAAGACACAGGAUUUGUUGGACCAAUCCAGUUGCUGUGACAACUGUAUGUCUGGUUAGGGAGGCUGAGAUUCAACUCAGAAGACCGCGUCUUCACCUUAUUCCCCUUGACCUAAGGACACCUAGUCCACGCCCAAUCACUCUGGUAAGUCUUCAAGGUAGACUUCCAAACCUUCACAUACUUCGUUCACCGGCAAUCCACAAUGACUCUUGGAUGCUCAGAACGCGACGCCUAACCGGCUGGAGGAUACACAGUCCUCAAGUGUAAUAAGUCUUCAGGUCACACAGACAGAAAGACUUUAGUGAUGCCUAACACUCUUUGGCUCUGGGUGUUUGGGCUUGGUCCUCGCAAGGAUUUUUCUCUCUCAAAGGCUUUGAGGUGGGUUGCUCUCAAAAUGACAAAAGCCGUAGAAUAACUCUGAGCAGCCACCAAUUUAUGGUGUAGGGGGUGGGCUAUUUAUAGCCACUGGGCAACCCGACCUGAUAUAUCCGAAAUGACCCUGGGUCACUAAGGAACUAACACGUGUUCCAACGGUCAGAUUUCAAACACACACGACAACUUUACUUGGGCUACAAGCAAAGCUGACUUAUCCAGCUCAGGAUAAGAUUUGCUCUCAUUGUCUUUGCUCGAAGACAUAGGAUUUGGGUUGAGCAUCACUUCAGUCACUCUGACUUAGUUCACUUGGACCCCACUUAACAGUACGGUGGUUCCUAUGACUCAACAAAGAAGAAAAGGAAACAACAAAACAACACAGUCUUCGCGCUCCAUAGUCUUCACUCAAUGUCUUCUCAUGUCAUAGUCUUUAAUAUGAAUAUCUUCACAUACCACCAUUGUCUUCACUGUCUUCAUACAUUUUUAGGGGUCAUCUCCGGUAGGUAAACCGAAUCAAAGAGGGACACUACCUGCGUUAUCCUGCAAUUCUCACAAACGCAUUAGUCCCUCAACCAACUUUGUCGUCAAUACUCCAAAACCAACUAGGGGUGGCACUUGAUGCACUUACAAUCUCCCCCUUUUUGGUGAUUGAUGACAAACUGGUUGAAGUUUUCAACGGGGAUAAAGUAUGUGAAAUUGUAAAGGAUAGGGUAUUGUCUUCAUAAGUAGCAAGGGCUCCCCCUGAAGAUGUGCAUAUAAGUAAUUUGCUUUUGGAAUGCAAAUGCACAUGGCAGGUUGUACUUGUGGAGAUCCACUUCAACUUAUGAAGAUAAGUCAUCAUGCAUGAAAAUGAUAUAGCAAAUAGAAUGACAUGCAUAAUGAAAAAUGGAUGUCUGCAGAAUGAUCUAAGUGCGGAAGUUAUCAUCGCACAAGCGGAGUAAAGCAAAUAAGUAGCAGAGGACCAUCGAGUUUAAGUGUUACAACUCAAAGAGCCAAAUGUUUCAAAACGAGAGUUGUAAACACGAGGCAAAAUAUAAAGCAACCGCCCAUAUGAACCCGCUUGAAGACUAUCAACUCAUACGCUUCUCCCCCUUUUGUCGGUAAUGACCAAAAAGGUUUGAAGACAUAGAGCAUCUACUCGUCCUCAUGAGUAGGUGAAGCAGCAGGGUUGUCGUUGUUGCUUGGCAGUGCAAACGUACUUGGUGCAGUGUCGAUGCGUGCAGUAGUAGGAGGUGGUGAAGUAGCAUCAUCUUCAUCAUCGAUCACUCUUGCAUUCACAGUUGCCGUGGAGGAAGAAUAGACAGAGUCUUCAAGGGAUGGAGUUCGACGUAGGACAGCAGUUCGUGGAGGAGUGGAGUCAAACUGGAAUCUUUCAGUGAAGCCAUCGUCUUGAAGAUCUGCUUCAGCACUAAGCAAGGUCAAACUCUUCCAUGAUCGCCGGCAAGUCUCGUGAGCAACAAAUGCAUUCUUGGUGGCAAGAUUGCGAAUGCGAUUGACAUCCACCAAGAGGCUUUGCAUCUGAUGCUUGAGCCAAAAGUGAUGCUUAUCUUGUUUCUGAUGAAGAGCCACAAGAAGUUCUCGGUCAUUGAGGACCCGAGAGCGCUUCUUUGGCCUUUGAGCAAUGUUGCUUUCAGUGGCUUCAGUAGGUGCACGAUGAGGCAGACGAGUAUUCCCAGCCAUUGGAUAGAUACGUGUUACUGCUUGAGUGCCUUCCAUGGACUGAGUGAAGCUUUGGUGAUCAGGAUUUUGAAGACAAAGAGGCUCCUUGGCAGGCUCAGGGUAUAUAGCUUCAACUGACAUAUCAACCUCUAGUAAAAAGAUCAGAUGAUUGUGAGCAGAGGGCUCAUAGUUGACAAAAGAGUGUCGCUUGAUGAGGCGCAUGACCCAUGGAGCAUAAAACUUCAGACCAAAAAGGUCAGAUCCAGAAGCAGCAAGUUGCCUGAUGAAGAAUUCUUGAGAAUUGAAGCUGAUGCCAUUGAGGAUGUAGAAGACCAAUGUCUUCAUGGCUCCUUCAAGCUUUGCAGCUGAUGAAUGUCCUUUGAUAGGCCAUAGAGUUCGCCUGAUGAUAUGAUAUAUGGUGCGAGGCAGAUACUCAAGGUCUUCAACAAAGAACUCCGUUGGAUAUUUACCGUCAGACGGCAAAGGCUUCAUCAUGCUCAACAUAUGGCUCAUAUUGGGUUCAGGCUUGUGGAAGAUGCUCUCCUGUGCAUUGUGGUGUAGUUGACAGUCAGGUUCAUAGAGAUCUCCGGGAGUGGAUAGGCUAGUAAGCUCAAUGAUGUCAAGAGCUUUGGCUUCAUGAUGAACGUUUCCAGUCAUCCACUCGAGAACCCAUGUCUUGAUGUCUCUGUUCUAGCCGCGAAUGUGGAGGGUAGCAUAGAAUUGAAGUAAAAGUUCUUCAUUCGAAUGUACUUUGUCUGUCACAAAACUGAGUAGACCAGCAUCACGAAAACAGUCAAGUGCUUCUUCUAAGCAAGGCAGUCCAGCAAUGGCUUCAGUGUCGAGAAGCAUAUGAGGGAAGAUGCGCUCUUGAUCAUACAGAACACAUGAGUAAUAGCUUCGCUGCUGAUGACUCCAGAAACGAUCUGAUGAUAUUCUUGGCCUUGUGUAGGGGUUCUUUGAGCUGUCAAAGAAUGUGUUGUGGCUUUUGAAGCCAUUUGCAUUGAAGGACCCGACAGAUGUGGCAGUACCUGGAAACCUUGGCAGUCUUGGCUUUGGCUUCUGGACCUGAGGCCUAUGCUCAAUGUGAUAGUCAAAAUGAGGACCAGAGACAUUAGGCGGAGGGACCAGAACGGGCCAUCUUACUGUGACUAGCUCGCCAUGGUUGUAUGCUUGCUCAAUGGUAUAUGGCCUUGGUGGCGGAACAGGAGCAGUGGCAGCAGCUGGGGCUUCAGGCUGCACAACAGGUGCUUCGGGAGCAGUUGCCUCAUUGGUUUCAGGCACACUGGUUGGUUCAAGCUCCACAUUAGCUUCAGCCAUGACUACGUCAUUGGCUUCACUUGCGUUGGUAGUGGCAGCUUCAGGAUUUUCAACCUCCACUUGAUGAGCUGGAGGGUCGGGCACUGGCACGUUCACUUUAGGAACAUCUUCUUCAAUAACUGGGGGAGUAGGAACACGUACAUCUUCUUGUCUUUCAUCGGCUGAUGCAGCCGGAUUGUCUUCAGCAGCUUGGGCUUCAGACACGGAGACAUUCUCAGUUGGAGUGGCUUCAGGAAACACUUGACGUGCAACAGGUUGAGGAUGCACUUCUCCUUCUGGAACUCUCGGAAGAGGGACUUGAGGCCUUGGUCCUUUGCGAAGCCGUUGUAGGACAGGCGAUGCCUUGGGAGAUGGAGUAGGUAGGUCCUCAUCCUCUUCAACUUGAACAGAUGGUGUGGCUUGUUGUUGUUGUUGGGGAGUACUGGGGGAGUCUUGUUGUUGUGGGCGAUCAGCCCAUGAUGCAUCCUGAGCAAUUGGCGUCAGAGAACGACCAAUGCUGAUGAUUUCGCUGUUCGUGAGAAUAGGCGAUGAUACCACAUUGUAUUCAAUUUGAGGAAGAACUUCAUCAUCAUCUACAUUGUCAUGGUGACCAAUGUCUUCAGCAGUGAUGGGAUCAACUGCUGGAGUUUCUUCAGCUUCAGGAGCCUCUGUGGAAGCAGGCUCAUGAACAGUCAUACGUAGUUCUUGGGUUGCAGAUGUAGGACGAACAACUGAGAUGGUUUCAACAACAAGGGCCUCUGUGGGAGCAGCCCGACUUUUCUUGGUCUUGCGCUUCUUCUUGGAGGGAGCGGCUUCAGAGGCUUCAGUAUUCUUCCUCUUUCUGGCUUCAGCCUCGGCAUCCCUCGUCUUUCUCUGUUCUGAAGCGGUUGAUGAGACCUUUGGAUUCGAGCCAGUCAUGCUGCUUGGGAAGAUAAUAUGAGGUGCUUCUUGAGAUGAAGACUCAGGUUGGGCAGUAGAGAGCUUCUUCUUGUUCUUUGCAGCCAUCCCGGGGUCAAUGCCAGGACGGCCAAGAGACUUACGCUUCUUAGCCUCAUUGUAGGCAAGUACACACUUGUCAGCCAAACUCUUCAUACGCUCGCGAGAGCCUUGAGCUUCUUGGCGCUUCUUGAGAAAUGCUUCUUUAAGCUCAUGCAGCAUGACCUUGAAGUUUCUGACAUCUUGCACACUGAGCUUCGCCACAUGCUUCUUGAACUAAGCCUUCUCAUAAUCAAUUUUGUUCUUCAGCUCAACGAUGCGCUGAGCAAGAGCUAGCUCAGAAGCAAUGGCGCCAUUAAAGGAGACACUGAGGCCAAUGGGAAGCUGCAGAUCGUCAAAGCUGAGGUUUGGUGUAUCAAACCACUCAUCAAUGAAGUUAUGGAUGACUGCCACAUCGAAGAGAGGCAGGUUGUUGAAGAUCUCUGCUUCUUCCUUGCUUUUGAUCAAUUGCUCAAGGGCAUCAUCUGCAAGAUCUUCAUCGCUAGACAGAUCAAUGGGAUCUUCACGCAGAAUGGCAGUAGGAGUUAAGGUUUGAUCAGAAUGCCUGACAAUUUGCUUUUUCUUCUCCGUCUUCUUGGAGAUUCAGGAUUGAUCUUCAGACUGCACACUGUCUUCAGGAGGUGCAGUGGCCAGAGGCUUCACACGAGAAGCUUUCGGAGGUACAACUGAUGUUGAAGCCUUAACUUUCUUUGGCUUCUGGGGCCUUGGAGGAGGAGCUGGGGCUUCAUCAGUGUCAACAUCAUUAUCAGAAUGAUCUACCCUGGCACCUUGGACCAAGAUGUAGGUGAUGAGGCCAUCGAGGUUGGAGAAGGGGCCGAUGACAUUAGGAUUUGCAUCACGAGAGCCGUCGACACGAGGAGCAGAGGGACCAGGGUUGAAGUAUAAUCCCAAUGACUUCUUGUUUUCCUUGGCCGAAGCCUUGGCGUGCUGAAAGUUGCACUUGAAGAGAGCAUCAUCACGACACCAGAGUAAUGAUGUGGGAUCGGCAUUCUCAGGCUGAGGUCCACGGACCAUGCAGGGAUAGAAACCUUGUGCAAUAGCUUCAGCUCUGUUCUUGGGUUGAAGGCCUCGAUAGAGAAUAUCGCCCCAAGGAAUCUUGAUAGCAUUCUUCUCUGCAUAUUCCUUGGUCACGAACUUGUACUUGAACCAUUCUUCAGCCCAAUAGCGUCGAAUCCAUUAGAUUCGUGUCUUGCGCUGAUGAUAAUUCUCUUUAGGAUCUGUCUUGUAGAGCUCUGCUAGGUCAUCAGGCAGAUCUUUUGAUGUACCCCCUCGAUGCUGUCUGCCACCCUUCCUUACUGAUUUCUCUACAGCCAUGAACUUCAAACUGAAUGGCUUCAAUAUGUUCAAAGGCUUCAGAGGCUUACACUUGCUGGUCAAGCAGAAGCUGGCUUCAGGAGAAUUAAUGUGAUGCUGUAAGUAUUCUGCAAACGAAUGCAGACUAUGAGAACCAAGGGAUUCUCCCACGGACAUGUACCCGUGACAGCAUUAGAGAUGCGAGGGAAGGGGAAGAGGUCAUAUGCAUUCUCAGAAGAUUUUGAAGAUAAAUCAGUUUGAAGACAUUGACCUCAUGAUGCGAAGACAUCCACUUGUAUGUUGUGAGUUGGUUCCAGAUUUGUACGAAUCCGUGAAUAAGUACAAGUGAGGAAUCAAACUAGAUAUGAAACUUAAGUGAAUAGUCUAGGCAGUAUGAGAUGCAGACAGAAUAGAUCUAACAUUGUGUAGGCAGAAACCACUUUUGGUAAAUAGGAUAAAUCUUGAAGAUCAAAAAGGUGGUAAAAAUAGAGUUAUAAUUACCGCACGAAGAACUGCUAGAUGGUAUGAAUAGGAUACCGAGCAGUUCAGUCCACCGUGCCCUAACUUGGCGACGGAGGACACCUACGGCGACGGCGGAGAGGACGAUGUCCGCGGCCGGCGUGAGGACGGCGUCGGAGAAGUCGCGACAGCUAAGCGCUUCGUCGCCGGCGUCGUCGAGAGCUAGCGGUGGCGCUAGGGUUUUGACGAGGUGGAGAGGUGGAAGAAGGAUUUCUUACCGCAGGGGACAAGUAUUUAUAUGUAGGUGUGCAGCACAAUGCAAUUACGCUGGUGCCCCUGGCGGUUCACAUCUGAGGGGAACGUGGCAAGCAUGCAACAUACUCAGAGUUGUCCCACGUUCCCACGCCCGCCAGGCAUGUCGGAUGGUUGUUCUGGCUUCUCCGGAUUUCAACAGUAAAAAUGAGUUAUUUAAAAACAGACUUAAUGUUUGUCUCUGUGCCUUCUGCUGACUAGGACGCAGAGAAGACAUUCAACAGUUUCAAUAGAAUGCAUAUGAUUUGGAUAGAUAGAGUUUGAGAUUGAAAGCAUAGAGAAGUUAGGGUCCUAUCACAUUCACUUAGUUCAGAAGAUUCAACUUGAAGACAUAGCUAUAAGUGAAUGCUGUAGAGGACAGAACACUAGUGUAUAUAUGUUUCAGAAAGCAAUCAAAUCAUCAUAGUGAAGGAAAUCAUGAAGAUAAAUUGAAACUGAAGACAUACCAAAUGCAGAGUCAUUGCAAAAAUAACGCCAUGAGUGAAACACUUCAAACAGAGAAAUUUGGUGGUGGCGUUUCCCACCGUAUAGGAAGUAUUAGACCCAGACACGGCGCACAAUUAUCGUGGCGCUCCGAAGUCAAAUUCCAUGUUAAUGUAUUCACACUCAGAUUGUAAGUCUUCAUUGAUUGAAGAUAUACAUUACUUUGUGUGUUGCACAUCUAAGUCAUCAACAUGCAUAAGUGUUAGGAUGUGUGCCUGAUCACAGGACAUUUGAGGAUUCCAAGAUAUUUAGCUCACACCAUAACUUGUAAAACCUUUUCUCAUCCAAGGGCUUUGUGAAGAUAUCUACGAGUUGCUCUUCAGUGUUGACGUGAAUGAUGUCGAUAUCUUUCUUCAUGACAUGAUCUCUGAGAAAGUGAUGACGAAUUUCAAUGUGCUUUGUCUUCGAGUGCUGGACUGGAUUGUUGGCUAUCUUGAUGGCACUUUCAUUGUCGCAGAAGAGAGGUACUUGUUUCAGAUUGAUGCCAUAGUCCUUGAGAGUUUGCUUCAUCCAGAGAAGCUGAGCACAACAAGAUCCAGCAGCAAUGUAUUCAGAUUCAGCAGUUGAGAGUGAUACACAGUUCUGCUUCUUUGAAGACCAACAGACAAGUGAUCGACCCAGAAAGUGACAUGUGCCUGAUGUAGACUUGCGAUCCACCUUGUCACCAGCAUAAUCAGCAUCCGAGAAUCCAACCAAAUCAAAUUUUGAGCCCUUGGGAUACCAUAAUCCGAGUGUUGGGGUGUAGGCCAAAUAUCAAAGAAUUCGCUUCACAGCUAAGUGAUGCGAUUCCUUUGGUGCCGCUUGGAAUCGAGCACACAUGCAAACACUAAGCAUAAUAUCUGGCCUUGAUGCACAUAGAUAAAGUAAAGAACCAAUCAUGGAGCGGUAUACCUUUUGGUCGAACUCUUUACCAUUGUCGUUGGGACCAAGAUGGUGUUUGGCUGGCAUUGCCGUCGUGUAGGCUUUGCAGUCUUCCAUUCCAAACUUCUUCAGACAAUCUUUGAGGUAUUUUUCUUGAGAUAUGAAGAUGCCAUUGCUUUGCUGACGAAUUUGAAGACCAAGGAAGAACUUCAACUCAUCCAUCAUGGACAUCUGAUAUUGCUCUUGCAUCAUGUAGCCAAACUCAUCAGUAUACUUCUGGUUGGUGCAACCGAAGAUUAUGUCAUCCACAUAUAUUUGGCACACAAACAGUUCACCAUCAUAUGUCUUCGUGAAGAGUGUGGGAUUGAGGGAUCCAGGUUUGAAGCCUUUGCUCUUCAGGAAGUCUUUGAUCAUAUCAUACCAUGCACGAGGAGCUUGUUUGAGGCCAUAUAGUGCUUUGUUUAGCUUGUAUACCAUAUCAGGAUGUUUUGGAUCUUUAAAGCCAGGUGGUUGAGCGACAUAUACUUCUUCUUCAAUCUUGCCAUUGAGAAAUGCACUCUUCACAUCCAUUUGAUAUAGCAAGAUGUUGUGAUGAUUAGCAUAGGCUAGCAGUAUGCGGAUAGCUUCAAGCCUAGCCACAGGAGCAAAUGUUUCAUCGAAGUCAAUUCCUUCUACCUGAGUAUAUCCUUGAGCCACAAGACGUGAUUUGUUUCUGACGACUUGACCAUGCUCAUCUUGCUUGUUUCGAUAUAUCCAUUUUGUUCCAAUAAUGUUAUGCUUGCGAGGGUCAGGUCGCUUGACAAGAUCCCAAACAUUGUUUAGCUUGAACUGUUGAAGUUCUUCUUGCAUAGCUUGAAUCCAUUCAGGUUCCAUAAAGGCUUCAACAACUUUCUUGGGUUCUGAUAUUGACACAAAUGAAAAGUUCCCACAGAAUUUUGCUAACUGUGUUGCCUUUGAGCGAGUGAGUGGACCAGGUGCAUUGAUGCUAUCAAUUAUCUUCUCAAUUUGUACUUCAUUUGCAACACAAGGAUGAACAGGAUGAAGAUUUUGCUCUUGCUGAUCAUUGUCAUCAUUGGGAGGAUUAUCUUCGGUCUGAGCAUUGUCUUCAUGUUGGUUAGGGGCAGAAAUGACAAGUUCCUCUUUAGGCUGAGCUUCAGAGGGCAUGAUUUCACCAGUUCCCAUCAGCUUGAUAGAUUCGCUUGGAGGAGCUUCAUUAAGUGUACUCGGCAGGAGUUCUCUUUGUGAACCAUUGGUUUCAUCGAAUCUCACAUCCACAGUUUCGACGAUCUUGUAUAGAUAGAGGUUGAAGACUCUGUAGGAGUGAGAGUCCUUUCCAUAGCCAAGCAUGAAGCCUUCGUGAGCCUUAGGUGCAAACUUCGACUUGUGAUGGGGAUCCUUGAUCCAGCAUCUAGCACCAAAGACCUUGAAGUAGCUGACAUUUGGCUUCUUGCCAGUAAGGAGCUCAUAGGAUGUUUUGUUCAGAAGCUUAUGGAUGUAGACACGGUUGAUGACGUGACAUGCUGUAUCAAUAGCUUCAGGCCAGAACUUUCUUGGUGUCUUGUACUCAUCGAGCAUUGUUCGAGCCAUCUCAAUUAGAGUUCUGUUCUUGCGCUCAACGGUGCCAUUUUGCUGAGGUGUGUAUGGAGCAGAGAACUCAUGAGUGAUUCCCAUUGUAUCCAGAUAAAGAUCAAGUCCGGUGUUCUUGAAUUCAGUGCCAUUAUCACUUCUGAUAUGCUUGAUCUUCACGCCAUAAUUGUUCAUUGCUCGAUUGGCGAAUCGUUUGAAGACAUCUUGUACUUCAGUCUUGUAGAGAAUUAUAUGCACCCAUGUGUAUCUUGAGUAGUCAUCAACAAUGACGAAGCCAUACAAACAAGCAGUUGUUGUGAGGGUGGAGUAGUGAGUAGGUCCAAAUAAGUCCAUGUGUAACAGCUCGAAGGGUUGAGAUGUUGUCAUGAUUGUCUUCGAGGGGUGCUUUUCCCUAGUCAUCUUCCUAGCUUCACAGGCACCACACAAAUGAUCUUUCUUGAACUUGACAUCCUCGAUGCCAAUGACAUGCUUCUUCUUGACGAGUGUGUGUAAGUUCCUCAUGCUAGCGUGUCCCAGCCUUCGAUGCCAGAGCCAGCAUUCCGAAGCUUUUGUGAGAAGACAUACGGCAAGCUGUGGACCUGCUAAGAAAUCUACCAUGUAUAGAUCAUCUUUCCUAUAUCCUUCAAAGACUAGAGACUUGUCAGAUUCCAUUAGUACAGGCAACGAUAUUUUCCAAAUAGCACAGUCAUGUUUAAGUCACAAAGCAUUGAGACAGCCAUUAAGUUGAACCCAAGGGAUUCAACAAGCAUCACUUUAUCCAUGUGUUGAUCCUUAGAGAUUGCAACUCUACCUAGACCCAAUACCUUGCUUUUACCAGUGUCAGCAAAUGUGAUUUGACUCUUGUCGGAUGGACGUAAGGUUGAGUCCAUGAGAAGACUGCGAUCACCAGUCAUAUGAUUAGUGCAUCCGCUGUCAAUAAUCCAUUCUGAAGCUUUUGGUGACAUGCCCUACAGUGCAGUUAGGAGGAUAGGCUUCACAAGGUAUGUUGUGAAGCAUAAGCAUUUGACGCACACUUGGAUUAUCACAGCAUAGAUCAAGAUUAGAACACACAGUAUGACAGGUAAGAGAUUCAUAUGUGGAAUACAUAGUAAGUCAUUUUAUCAUGCGUCCCUUUAUGUUUUAGGUCCCCAGCAAUAAUAUCGGACGCCAUUGAUUGCUGGCUGGAGACCACAUUCUGCAAAAGAGAGUUAAUUCUUCUUCACCACCCACAUUUUUAGGGGUGGCUUAGAAGCAAUGAGUCUAAGUGCAGCAGCUGAGAAUUUCGGCUUUGAAGCCCUAGCAGAUAGCCUUGCAGGAGAUGAAUGAUACUCAUGUGAAUAAGCAGAAAAGUUCUUAGUUCUAUGAACAUAGCGGUUUGAAGACACAUGCUCAUAUUCAUGAGUUUGAGUAUGAUUUCCCUGCAAAACAUUGGCGUUAGGGUGACUCAAGUGAGUCCUGUAUUCGUAUGAAGCCGUUGGACCAUAUGAUGCCUUUGGUCUGGGGUUUGUCUUCUUCCCAGGUGGUGUCAUGAUGACAUUCACUGGAAGAUUCUCAAGGCAGCUUUUGGGAACCCAGAUCUUCUUCAUAGGUGAUCCAUUCCUGCAGUUAGUACCAAUAUACCUGGCAAACACUUCACCAUUCUGAUUUUUGAACAGUUUAUAGUUUGCAUCAAAGGAUUCAUCAAUGAUAAUAGGAUUAGCACAGGUAAAUCCAGAUAAAGUGGACGGAUCCACUGAAGGUUCCUUUGCAGCAACCCAUGUGGUUUUGGGAUACUGCUCACGCUUCCAGUAGGAACCAUCAGCAUUCAUUUUCCUCUCGAACCCAACACCCUCUUUCCUAGGGUUUCGGUUCAGAAUCUGCUUUUUGAGGACAUUGGAGAGUGUCUGAUGUCCCUUCAAACUUUUGUACAUCCUGUUUCAAGCAAUGUCUUCAACCUAGCAUUUUCAUCAGUAAUAGUAGUGGUAUCCUCCGUAGAGGGGUUAGUAACCACAUUAGUAGUUGAAGACAAUGAAACAACAGCAGCAGUGGAACAUCCAGCAACAGAUGUAGCGUUAUCACGCUCAAUGCAUUUUAGACAUGGUGGUUCAAAUCCAUCCUGAGCGGGACUGAUCUAUUGAGCGCGAAGUGACUCAUUCUCUUUUUGAAGAUCUUCAUGAGCCGCUUUCAAUUUCUCAAGCUCUUGCUUCCUUUGAAGAUAAUCAUAGGAGAGCUUUUCAUAUGUGGUUGAGAGAGUCUCAUGAAGACUUUCAAGUUCUUGGUACUUAGCAUGAAGAUUUUUUAUGUCUUCUACUAAGGACUGUGAACGUGUCAUUUCCGCGUCCAACUGGUCAUCGCUUUUGUCUAACAGUUUUUGAGUAUGUUCCAUAGCCCUUUGUUGUUCAGUAGCAAUUUUAGCAAGUGUUUUGUAGUUGGGUUUGGAUUCACAAUCAGAGUCAUCUUCACUUGAUGUUUGAAAGUAAGCAUUGCGUGAUUUUACCUUGGCACCACGUGCCAUGAAGCAGUAGGUGGGAGCAGGAUUGUCCAUGUCAUCAGCUUCAGCGUUGGUGUGGAAGUCAUUGCCUGCAGUGUUGAAGAUGGACUUGGAAACAUAGGCUGUGGCACGAGCCAGACUUGCAACGCCAGGGUCAGACUCUUCUCCAGACUCCACCUCCGCCUCCUCAGAAGCAGACUCCUCCUCUGAAUCCAUUUCCUUGCCAACAAAGGCACGAGCCUUGCCAGAUGAGCUCUUCUUGUGUGAUGAAGACUUGGAAGAAGACUUAGAGGAAGACUUUGAGGAUUUCUUCUUCUUCUUGUCAUCAGAAUCAUAUUCCUUGCUCUUCUUCUUCUUCUUCUUCUUCUCAUUGUCCCACUGUGGACACUCAGAUAUGUAGUGACCAGGUUUCUUGCACUUGUGGCAAGUUCUCUUCUUGUGGUCAUGGGUGGAAGCUUCAUCAUUCUUGGAACUAGACCGUGAAGACUUUCUGAAGCCCUUCUUCUUGGUGAACCUCUGAAACUUCUUCACAAGCAUGGCAAGUUCCUUUCCAAUGUCUUCAGGAUCAUCAGAACCACAGUCAGAUUCUUCUUCAGAUGAGGAAACCACUUUUGCCUUCAAGGUGCGAGUUCGGCCAUAAUUGGGACCAUAGAUAUCUCUUUUCUCAGAAAGCUGGAACUCAUGUGUGUUGAGCCUCUAAAGUAUAUCAGACGGAUCGAGUGUCUUGAAGUCAGGACGUUCUUGUAUCAUGAGGGAAAGGGUGUCAAAGGAGCUGUCAAGUGAUCUUAGUAGUGUCUUGAUGAUUUCAUGCUUGGUGAUCUCAGUGGCACCAAGAGCUUGAAGUUCAUUUGUGAUGUCAGUCAGACGAUCAAAUGUGAGCUGGACAUUUUCAUUGUUGUUUCUCUUGAAGCGGUUGAAGAGGUUGCGAAGAACACUGAUCCUUUGAUCUCUCUGGGUUGAGACGCCUUCAUUGACCUUGGAUAGCCAGUCCCAGACUAGCUUCGACGUUUCCAGAGCACUCACAUGGCCAUACUGUCCUUUGGUCAGAUGACCACAGAUGAUGUUCUUAGCAGUAGAGUCCAGUUGAAUGAACUUCUUGACAUCAGUGGGGGUGACACCUUCACCAGUUUUGGGAACGCCGUUCUUGACGACAUACCAGAGGUCGACAUCAAUGGCUUCAAGAUGCAUGCGCAUCUUAUUCUUCCAGUAGGGAUAUUCAGUUCCAUCGAACACGGGGCAAGCAACGGAGACUUUGAUUAUCCCUGCAGUCAACAUAGCUGAAACUCCAGGUGGUUGAACCGAAUCACACAGAACAAGGGAGUACCUUGCUCUGAUACCAAUUGAAAGUGCUAGUAUCGACUAGAGGGGGGGGGGGUGAAUAGGUGAUUAUUAUGAAAGUCUUCAAAACUUGGAAGUUUCGAAGACAAACAAUAGAAAUGACCUAGUUAAUAUGCAGCGGAAGAUAAACUACCAUACGUAAGCCAUAGUCAAGUAUGCAAUGAUGUGAAAGUACAUGACUAAUAGCAGCUAAGUAGUAAGGAUCAGGAUGGAAGAUAGUAUGAAGCCAAUCAACAGUAGUAGUCAAGCAAUGAAGUCAAACAGGUACACAGAUAGGCAAUGACUUCAUGAAGACAAACUUAAGUAAAGGAAGGAAGAGGAUAGAACCAGUCACUUGUUGAAGACACAGGAUUUGUUGGACCGGUUCCAGUUGCUGUGACAACUGUACGUCUGGUUAGGGAGGAUGAGAUUCAACUCAGAAGACAGCGUCUUCACCUUAUUCCCCUUGAGCUAAGGACACCUAGCCCACGCCCAAUCACUCUGGUAAGUCUUCAAGGUAGACUCCCAAACCUUCACAGACUUCGUUCACCGGCAAUCCACAAUGACUCUUGGAUGCUCAGAACGCGACGCCUAACCGACUGGAGGAUACACAGUCCUCAAGUGUAAUAAGUCUUCAGGUCACACAGACAGAAAGACUUCAGUGAUGCCUAACACUCUUUGGCUCUGGGUGUUUGGGCUUGGUCCUCGCAAGGAUUUUUCUCUCUCAAAGGCUUCGAGGUGGGUUGCUCUCAAAACGACAAAAGCCGUAGAAUAACUCUGAGCAGCCACCAAUUUAUGGUGUAGGGGUGGGCUAUUUAUAGCCACUGGGCAACCCGACCUGAUAUGUCCGAAAUGACCCUGGGUCACUAAGGAACUGACACGUGUUCCAACGGUCAGAUUUCAAACACACACGGCAACUUUACUUGGGCUACAAGCAAAGCUGACUUAUCCAGCUCAGGAUAAGAUUUGCUCUCAUUGUCUUCGCUCGAAGACAUAGGAUUUGGGUUGAGCAUCACUUCAGUCACUCUGACUUAGUUCACUUGGACCCCACUUAACAGUACGGUGGUUCCUAUGACUCAACAAAGAAGAAAAGGAAACAACGAAACAACACAGACUUUGCGCUCCAUAGUCUUCACUCAAUGUCUUCUCAUGUCAUAGUCUUCAAUAUGAAUAUCUUCACAUACCACCAUUGUCUUCACUGUCUUCAUACAUUUUUAGGGGUCAUCUCCGGUAGGUAAACCGAAUCAAAGAGGGACACUACCUGCGUUAUCCUGCAAUUCUCACAAAUGCAUUAGUCCCUCAACCAACUUUGUCGUCAAUACUCCAAAACCAACUAGGGGUGGCACUUGAUGCACUUACAGUAUGCAUACGUGAGACAGGUUCCACCGACUGACAUGCACUAGUUGCAUAAGGUGGCUAGCGGGUGUCUGUCUCUCCCACUUUAGUUGGAGCGGAUUCGAUGAAAAGGGUCCUUAUGAAGGGUAAAUAGAAAUUGGCAUAUCACGUUGUGGUUUUACGUAGGUAAGAAACGUUCUUGCUAGAAACCUAUAGAAGCCACGUAAAAACUUGCAACAACAAUUAGAGGACUUCUAACUUGUUUUUGCAGCAUAUUCCUUGUGAUGUGAUAUGGCCAAAAGGAUGUGAUGAAUGAUAUAUGUGAUGUAUGAGAUUGAUCAUGUUCUUGUAAUAGGAAUCACGACUUGCAUGUCCAUGAGUAUGACAACCGGCAGGAGCCAUAGGAGUUGUCUUUAUUUUUUUGUAUGACCUGCGUGUCAUUGAAUAACACCAUGUAAAUUACUUUACUUUAUUGCUAAACGCGUUAGCCAUAGAAGUAGAAGUAGUCGUUGGUGUGACAACUUCAUGAAGACACGAUGAUGGAGAUCAUGAUGAUGGAGAUCAUGGUGUCAUGCCAGUGACGAAGAUGAUCAUGGCGCCCCGAAGAUGUAGAUCAAAGGAGCAAUAUGAUAUUGGCCAUAUCAUGUCACUAUUUGAUUGCAUGUGAUGUUUAUCAUGUUUUACAUUUUAUUUGCUUAGAACGACGAUAGCUUAAAUAAGAUGAUCCCUUGAAAUAAUUUCAAGAAAAGUGUUCCCCCUAACUGUGCACUGUUGCGAAGGUUCGUUGUUUCGAAGCACCACGUGAUGAUCGGGUGUGAUAGAUCCUAACAUUUGAAUACAACGGGUGUAAGCCAGAUUUACAAACGCAAUACACUUAGGUUGACUUGAUGAGCCUAGCAUGUACAUACAUGGCCUCGGAACACGGAAGACCGAAAGGUCGAGCAUGAGUCGUAUAGAAGAUACGAUCAACAUUAAGAUGUUCACCAAUGAUGACUAGUCCGUCUCACGUGAUUAUCGGACACGGCCUAGUUGACUCGGAUCAUGUUUCACUUAGAUGACUAGAGAGAUGUCUGUCUGAGUGGGAGUUCAUUGAAUAAUUUGAUUAGAUGAACUUAAUUAUCAUGAACUUAGUCUAAAAACCUUUGCAAAAUGUCUUGUAGAUCAAAUGGCCAACACUCAUGUCCACCUCAACUUCAACGCGUUCCUAGAGAAAACCAAGCUGAAAGAUGAUGGCAGCAACUAUACAGACUCGGUCCGGAACCUGAGGAUCAUCCUCAUAGCUGCCAAGAAAGAUUAUGUCCUAGAAGCACCGCUAGGUGAAGCACCCAUCCCAGAGAACCAAGACGUUAUGAACGCUUGGCAGUCUCGUGCUGAUGAUUACUUCCUCGUUCAGUGCGGCAUGCUUUACAGCUUAGAACUGGAUCUCCAAAAGCGUUUUGAGCAACACGGAGCAUAUGAGAUGUUCGAAGAGAUGAAAAUGGUUUUCCAAGCUCAUGCCCGGGUCGAGAGAUAUGAAGUCUCCGACAAGUUCUUCAGUUGUAAGAUGGAGGAAAAUAGUUCUGUCAGUGAGCACAUACUCACAAUGUCUGGGUUGCACAACCGCUUGACUCAGCUGGGAGUUAAUCUCCCGGAUGACACGGUUAUUGACAAAAUCCUUCAGUCGCUUCCACCGAGCUACAAGAGCUUUGUGAUCAACUUCAAUAUGCAGGGGAUGGAAAAGACCAUUCCUGAGGUAUAUUGAAUGUUGAAAUCAGCGGAGGUAGAGAUCAAAAAGGAACAUCAAGUGUUGAUGGUGAAUAAAACCACUGAGUUCAAGAAAGGCAAGGGUAAGAAGAACUUCAAGAAGGACGGCAAGGGAGUUGCCGCGCCCGGUAAGCCAGUUGUCGGGAAGAAGUCAAAGAAUGGACCCAAGCCUGAGACUGAGUGCUUUUAUUGCAAGGGAAGUGGUCAUUGGAAGCGGAACUGCCCCAAGUACUUAGCGGACAAGAAGGCCGGCAACACCAAAGGUAUAUGUGAUAUACAUGUUAUUGAUGUGUACCUUACCAACACUCGUAGUAGCUCCUGGGUAUUUGAUACCAGUGCGGUUGCUCAUAUUUGUAACUCAAAGCAGGAGCUGCGGAAUAAGCGGAGACUGGCGAAGGACGAGGUGACGAUGCGCGUCGGGAAUGGUUCCAAGGCCGAUGUGAUCGCUAUCGGCAUGCUACCUCUACAUUUACCUACGGGAUUAGUUUGAAACCUCAAUAAUUAGUGCUAGCUUUGAGCAUGAACAUUGUAUCAGGAUCUCGUUUAAUUCGAGAUGGCUACUCAUUUAAAUCCGAGAAUAAUGGUUGUUCUAUUUAUAUGAGAGAUAUGUUUUAUGGUCAUGCCCCGCUGGUGAAUGGUUUAUUCUUAAUGAAUCUCGAGCGUAAUGUUACAAAUAUUCAUAGUGUUGCUGUGAAGCCUCGCUGCUGUUGCAAUGUUCUUUGAAGAUAUCGUCAGCAUCCAGUGGUUGGAAAUCUAGUUGUUGUAGUUUAUUUUGCACCCUCUAUUUAGGUAAAAUUAAUUUUAAUCGCAUGCACUGGUCUGAAUUGAUCAUCAAUGGUUCAUCUAAACUAAUGAAAGAAGGGUGUGUGCAUACAUGACAAUAUAUCUGCUUCCCUCUAUUUUUAUGCUUGUUCGAGAUGCCAGCCCCAGAAGAACAAAUAUUUUGCUUGAUGGGGUUGGCAGCUCCAUAAUUAAUAGAAGCAUCAAAUUAGUCAUGCAACUUGGGAAGAUCAAGAACACACAUAGAAGUAAUGAACAGAGGCUCGGAGCAGUGAUGCAAUAGCUAGCAUCAGAAAAUGUUUGGUAAAACAGACAAAAAGCAGCGGAACCAGAUGCUAGUUUGCUGAUGUGUAAUUAAGCAUAGAGAACAUGAAGCAGUCUGAUGGAACCAACAGGUGGCAUCAGAACAACACCAUCAUCAUAAAUAUAGCAUGCAAGAAGUAAAAUAGUAGGCAGUGAUAUCUAGGAAGUACAAUAAUACUUAGGACAAAACUAAAGCAUAUUAACUAUAUGUGCACUGGUAUGUAAUUUAGCACAUGUAACAUGUUCACUGCCAGAAGUAUGGCCCUACAGGUGCAAGCAGAAUAACGCGUCUCAUGAAAAAUUGAAUGAUGCCCUGAAGAAAUUCAAAUGUGCGGUGCUUAUGCUAAGAAAGUGAACGUAGGCGCCGGCCGUUGGAUAGUAGUACCUGAUUCUCGGUGGCGUAUGGGUAUUGUUGUCAUACUUGAUAGCUAAGAAUCAUCGAUGGUGCUCGUGUUGCGAUUGAGUUUGGGCCAGCUGUCGCCGUCGCUGAAGCGGCUCCGGUGCUACGGUUGCGGCGCCUAUUGACAUACAAGAAAGCUCAUUUGUGGUAAGUGAACAGUUGCACGACAAAGAGAAAAACUGAAGGAGUACAAAUCAAAAUAACCUAAUGAGGCUGCAGCGUCAAUAAAGUAGGGACAGUGGAGUUGAAUAUGGCGUCCGUGGAGCGGGUCCGGUGCAGCGGACGAAGGCUUCGGCAUGCGCGUUGUACAGUGCUUUCGGUGAGGCGGAUCUAUUGCGGCGGACAGGGGCUUGUAUGAAGGGUCGGCGAUGGGCCGAGGGACUUAGUGAAGGGCCUACACUGUGGUGGACGAGGGCGCCAGUUAAGCAGAUUCGGUGCGGUGGAACAUGAUGGCGGUCAAGGAGAUCUGGAGCAGUGGACAAGCCAGUCGCUGAAGCGGCUCCGGUGAAGUGGUGAGUUGGCAGUUGGGGUUCCAAGGUGCGGAAGGUAGAUCCGACAGGGUGUGAGGUCCACCUCUGCGACGGAGGACUAGAUUCAGCGGCUUGCCGUGGUUGGGGGGGGGGGUCGAGGACGGGAAGGGGAGGGGCUUUGGGGAAGAAUGUUGGGGGCAAAGAGGGGAAAACAAUGGAGUUAACAAAGCAGCCCUUUUCCGUUCAUGUGGCAGGGGUAUAACAGGAAUAUCACAGGGCUAAACUUUCGGGUGCGAGAUAUUUCGAUGUGAGCGGGAAGUUUGAAAGCUUUUGGCGCCUAAAAUUAUAUUCUGCUCUUGUACGGCCGACUAUGAUAUCAUGGCCGAGAAUUUGUUUGUUUUGCACGCAAAAAAAGUGCAAGUUUUGAAAAUCAAUGUCUCCAACUCGAAACUUACAUUGUCCAUUCAAUUCAAAUAUAGAUCAUUGAGCUAGUACAAGCAAAUACCAUCAUACGGUCCAAUUCAAAUGGAAUUCCAAAUGUGUUUAUCCUAAAUAUGAUGACAAAAGCAAAAAUGUGUAUGUGUAUGAAUAAAGUGGAUGAUUAUAAAGUUUGAACAUGCCCGUAUGUGUAUAUCUCUAGGUUUGAUACAUGGAUUUGAGAUCACGAAAUCCCGCUUAAAAAAUGUACCUCCAUUUAAAUGAAUUACAAAAGCUAAUGAUGGAAUCGAAUUCUAAAAUUCCAAUCUUAGGUUUGUAAUUCUGGUACAUCAAGGUAUAUCACGCAUGUUCAAAAGUAUCGUUAUCUCAUAGUCCAAACUGUGAAACGAAUUGAUCAACCAUGAGUGCACACACUAUUGACCAUAUAUAUCUCAAUUACGCUAAAGUCCCUCAAAUAUAGACACCCCAGUCUUUAUCUGAAGCCACCCCCCACACACAAAGAUGUCGUUCUCUCCCCCAGACACGAACACACAAGCACAUUAACACCCCUCUCUCUUCUAAAGUCCGGACCCCAAUAUAGGUCUCUAUCACUUUGUCUCUCGGGCAUGAACACAUCUCUUCCCCCACUCUCUAGGUCUCCCGACAUCUCUCUUUCCCAAGCACACACACUAUGUAGAGUGUAUCUUUCCCAUACACACAAAACGUCGCCCCCAAAUGUCUAUCUCCCUAAUUAUGUGGUUCUCGCACACUCACCUCACACACCACCCCCACUGCAAACAAGCACACUUUGUCUCCUUGUGCACCACUCUCCUCUUUCUAUCUCUCCCACAUGCGGACCCGCCCCAGCUCCUUCCCUGUAUACAUAUAUGUUGUGACUCUUUCCAUAGCUCCCUAAUGUAUCAUCGUUCUCAAUCUCGCACAUUAUUCUCUACACCAUCUAUUCUAGAUCUCUCAUGAAGUCCCUAUCACACACACACACACACACGAUGACUCGCUUCCCUUGCGUCUCCGUACAUAGGCUAAUUUCGAACAACAUCAACAUUGUCUCCCUAUCUAUACACCAUUUAUGGACACAAACGACCCCUCUCUCACCCCCUCUCUUCCUCUCUUUCUCUCUCUCCGUCGCUAGCUCUCUCUCUCUCUCUCUCUCGCUCGCUCUCACACCCCUCUCCCACGCACACUCGAUGUCUCUUCCAAAUAGUCUGCUCCCCUCGCCCGCACCCAUGCUAUCCCGCUACUAUAUGUUGGAAAUAUGCCUUAGAGGCAAUAAUAAAAUGGUUAUUAUUAUAUUUCUCUGUUCAUGAUAAUUGUCUAUUGUUCAUGCUAUAAUUGUAUUAUCCGGAAAUCAUAAUACAUGUGUGAAUACAUAGACCACAACAAGUCCCUAGUGAGCCUCUAGUUGACUAGCUCAUUGAUCAACAGAUAGUCAUGGUUUCCUGACUAUGGACAUUGGAUGUCAUUGAUAACGGGAUCACAUCAUUAGGAGAAUGAUGUGAUGGAUAAGACCCAAUCCUAAGCAUAGCACAAAGAUCGUGUAGUUCGUUUAGCUAGAGCUUUUCCAAAUGUCAAGUAUCAUUUCCUUAGACCAUGAGAUUGUGCAACUCCCAGAUACCAUAGGAGUUCUUUGGUUGUGCCAAACAUCACAACGUAACUGGGUGACUAUAAAGGUGCACUACGGGUAUCUCCGAAAGUGUCUGUUGGGUUGGCACGAAUCGAGACUAGGAUUUGUCACUCCGUAUGACGGAGAGGUAUCUCUGGGCCCACUCGGUAAUGCAUCAUCAUAAUGAGAUCAAUGUGACCAAGUGUUUGGUCACAGGAUCAUGCAUUACGGCACGAGUAAAGUGACUUGCCGGUAACGAGAUUAAACGAGGUAUUGGGAUACCGACGAUCGAAUCUCGAGCAAGUAACAUACCGAUUGACAAAGGGAAUUGUAUACGAGAUUGAUUGAAUCCUCGACAUCGUGGUUCAUCCGAUGAGAUCAUCGAGGAGUGUGUGGGAGACAACAUGGGUAUCCAGAUCCCGCUAUUGGUUAUUGACCGGAGAGGCGUCUCGGUCAUGUCUGCAUGUCUCCCGAACCCGUAGGGUCUACACACUUAAGGUUCGGUGACGCUAGGGUUGUAGAGAUAUAAGUAUGCAGUAACCCGAAAGUUGUUCAUAGUCCCGGAUGAGAUCUCGGACGUCACGAGGAGUUCCGGGAUGGUCCGGAGGUGAAGAUUUAUAUAUGGGAAGUUCAGUUUCGGCCAUCGGGAAAGUUUCGGGGGUCACCGGUAUUGUACCGGGACCACCAGAAGGGUCCCGGGGGUCCACCGGGUGGGGCCACCUAUCCCGGAGGGCCCCAUGGGCUGAAGUGGGAGGGGAACCAGCCCCUGGUGGGCUGGUGCGCCCCCCCUUGGCCCCCCUGCGCCUAGGGUUGGAAACCCUAGGGGUGGGGGCGCCUCCACUUGCCUUGGGGGCAAGCCAACCCUUUGGCCGCCACCCCCCCUUGGAGAUCCCAUCUCCUAGGUCCGCCCCCCCCAGGGGGCCUAUAUAAAGAGGGGGGAGGGAGGGUAGCCGCACCCCAAGUCUUUGGCGGCUCCCUCUCCCCAUGCACCACCUCUCCCUCUCGCAGAAGCUUGGCGAAGCCCUGCCGAGAUCGCUACUGCAUGCACCACCACGCCGUCGUGCUGCUGGAUCUUCAUCAACCACUCCUUCCCCCUUGCUGGAUCAAGAAGGAGGAGCCGUCUUCCCAACCGUAUGUGUGUUGAACAAGGAGGUGCCGUCCGUUCAGCGCUAGGAUCUCCGGUGAUUUGGAUCACGACGAGUACGACUCCCUCAACCCCGUUCUCUUGAACGCUUCCGCUCGUGAUCUACAAGGGUAUGUAGAUGCAAUCCUGUCUCUCGUUGCUAGAUGACUCCAUAGAUUGAUCUUGGUGAAGCAUAGAAUUUUUUUAUUUUCCGCAACAUUCCCCAACAGUGGCAUCACGAGUUAGGUCUAUGCGUAGUUAUUAUGUACGAGUAGAACACAAAGCAGUUGUGGGCGUAGAUGUUAUCAAUUUUCUUGCCACUACUAGUCUUAUCUUGCUUCGGCGGCAUCGUGGGAUGAAGCGGCCUGGACCGACCUUACAUGUACGUGAAAGUGCUAGUAUCGACUAGAGGGGGGGGGGGGGUGAAUAGGCGAUUUUUAUGAAAGUCUUCAAAACUUGGAAGUUUCGAAGACAAACAACAGAAAUGACCUAGUUAAUAUGCAGCGGAAGAUAAACUACCAUACGUAAGCCAUAGUCAAGUAUGCAAUGAUGUGAAAGUACAUGACUAAUAGCAGCUAAGUAGUAAGGAUUAGGAUGGAAGAUAGUAUGAAGCCAAUCAACAGUAGUAGUCAAGCAAUGAAGUCAAACAGGUACACAGAUAGGCAAUGACUUCAUGAAGACAAACUUAAGUAAAGGAAGGAAGAGGAUAGAACCAGUCACUUGUUGAAGACACAGGAUUUGUUGGACCAAUUCUAGUUGCUGUGACAACUGUACGUCUGGUUAGGGAGGCUUAGAUUCAACUCAGAAGACCGCGUCUUCACCUUAUUCCCCUUGAGCUAAGGACACCUAGUCCACGCCCAAUCACUCUGGUAAGUCUUCAAGGUAGACUUCCAAACCUUCACAGACUUUGUUCAGCGGCAAUCCACAAUGACUCUUGGAUGUAAGAACGCGACGCCUAACCGGCUGGAGGAUACACAGUCCUCAAGUGUAAUAAGUCUUUAGGUCACACAGACAGAAAGACUUCAGUGAUGCCUAACACUCUUUGGCUCUGGGUGUUUGGGCUUGGUCCUCACAAGGAUGUUUCUCUCUCAAAGGCUUCGAGGUGGGUUGCUCUCAAAACGACAAAAGCCGUAGAAUAACUCUGAGCAGCCACCAAUUUAUGGUGUAGGGGGUGGGCUAUUUAUAGCCACUGGGCAACCCAACCUGAUAUGUCCGAAAUGACCCUGGGUCACUAAGGAACUGACACGUGUUCCAACGGUUAGAUUUCAAACACACACGGCAACUUUACUUGGGCUACAAGCAAAGCUGACUUAUCCAGCUCAGGAUAAGAUUUGCUCUCAUUGUCUUCGCUCGAAGACAUAGGAUUUGGGUUGAGCAUCACUUCAGUCACUCUGACUUAGUUCACUUGGACCCCACUUAACAGUACGGUGGUUCCUAUGACUCAACAAAGAAGAAAAGGAAACAAAAAAACAACACAGUCUUCGCGCUCCAUAGUCUUCACUCAAUGUCUUCUCAUGUCAUAGUCUUCAAUAUGAAUAUCUUCACAUACCACCAUUGUCUUCACUGUCUUCAUACAUUUUUAGGGGUCAUCUCCGGUAGGUAAACUGAAUCAAAGAGGGACACUACCUGCGUUAUCCUGCAAUUCACACAAACACAUUAGUCCCUCAACCAACUUUGUCGUCAGUACUCCAAAACCAACUAGGGGUGGCACUUGAUGCACUUACAAUCUCCCCCUUUUUGGAGAUUGAUGACAAUAUGGUUGAAGUUUUCAACGGGGAUAAAGUAUGUGAAAUUGUAAAGGAUAGGGUAUUGUCUUCAUAAGUAGCAAGGGCUCCCCCUGAAGAUGUGCAUAUAAGUAAUUUGCUUUUGGAAUGCAAAUGCACAUGGCAGGUUGUACUUGUGGAGAUCCACUUCAACUUAUGAAGAUAAGUCAUCAUGCAUGAAAAUGAUAUAGCAAAUAGAAUGACAUGCAUAAUGAAAAAUGGACGUUUGCAGAAUGAUCUAAGUGCGGAAGUUAUCAUCGCACAAGCGGAGUAAAGAAAAUAAGUAGCAGAGGACCAUCGAGUUUAAGUGUUACCACUCAAAGAGCCAAAUGUUUCAAAACGAGAGUUGUAAACACGAGGCAAAAUAUAAAGCAACCGCCCAUAUGAACCCGCUUGAAGACUAUCAACUCAUACGCUUCUCCCCCUUCUGUCGGUAAUGACCAAAAAGGUUUGAAGACAUAGAGCAUCUACUCGUCCUCAUGAGUAGGUGAAGCAGCAGGGUUGUCGUUGUUGCUUGGCGGUGCAGACGUACUUGGUGCAGUGUCUAUGCGUGCAGUAGUAGGAGGCGGUGAAGUAGCAUCCUCUUCAUCAUCGAUCACUCUUGCAUUCACAGUUGCCACGGAGGAAGAAUAGUCAGAGUCUUCAAGGGAUGGAGUUCGACGUAGGACAGCAGUUCGUGGAGGAGUGGAGUCAAACUGGAACCUUUCAGUGAAGCCAUCAUCUUGAAGAUCUGCUUCAGCACUAAGCAAGGUCAAACUCUUCCAUGAUCGCCGGCAAGUCUUGUGAGCAACAAAUGCAUUCUUGGUGGCAAGAUUGCGAAAGCGAUUGACAUCCACCAAGAGGCUUUGCAUCUGACGCUUGAGCCAAAAGUGAUGCUUAUCUUGUUUCUGAUGAAGAGCCACAAGAAGUUCUCGGUCAUUGAGGACUCGAGAGCGCUUCUUUGGCCUUUGAGCAAUGUUGCUUUCAGUGGCUUCAAUAGGUGCACGAUGAGGCAGACGAGUAUUCCCAGCCAUUGGAUAGAUACGUGUUACUGCUUGAGUGCCUUCCAUGGACUGAGUGAAGCUUUGGUGAUCAACAUUUUGAAGACAAAGGGGCUCCUUGGCAGGCUCAGGGUAUAUAGCUUCAACUGACAUAUGAACCUCUGGUAAAAAGAUCAGAUGAUUGCGAGCAGAGGGCUCAUAGUUGACAAAAGAGUGUUGCUUGAUGAGGCGCAUGACCCAUGGAGCAUAAAACUCCAGACCAAAAAGGUCAGAUCCAGAAGCUGCAAGUUGCCUGAUGAACAAUUCUUGAGAAUUGAAGCUGAUGCCAUUGAGGAUGUAGAAGACCAAUGUCUUCAUGGCUCCUUCAAGCUUUGCAGCUGAUGAAUGUCCUUUGAUAGGCCAUAGAGUUCGCCUGAUGAUAUGAUAUAUGGUGUGAGGUAGAUACUCAAGGUCUUCAACAAAGAACUCCGUUGGAUAUUUACCGUCAGACGGCAAAGGCUUGAUCAUGCUCAACAUAUGGCUCAUAUUGGGUUCAGGCUUGUGGAAGAUGCUCUCCUGUGCAUUGCGGUGUAGUUGACUGUCAGGUUCAUAGAGAUCUCCGGGAGUGGAUAGGCUAGUAAGCUCAAUGAUGUCAAGAGCUUUGGCUUCAUGAUGAACGUUUCCAGUCAUCCACUCGAGAACCCAUGUCUUGAUGUCUCUGUUGUAGCCGCGAAUGUGGAGGGUAGCAUAGAAUUGAAGUAAAAGUUCUUCAUUCGAAUGUACUUUGUCUGUCACAAAACUGAGUAGACCAGCAUCACGAAAACAGUCAAGUGCUUCUUCUAAGCAAGGCAGUCCAGCAAUGGCUUCAGUGUCGAGAAGCAUAUGAGGGAAGAUGCACUCUUGAUCAUACAGAACACAUGAGUAAUAGCUUCGCUGCUGAUGACUCCAGAAACGAUCUGAUGAUAUUCUUGGCCUUGUGUAGGGGUUCUUUGAGCUGUCAAAGAAUGUGUUGUGGCUUUUGAAGCCAUUUGGAUUGAAGGACCCGACAGGUGUGGCAGUACCUGGAAACCUUGGCAGUCUUGGCUUUGGCUUCUGGACCUGAGGCCUAUGCUUAAUGUGAUAGUCAAACUGAGGACCAGAGACACUAGGCGGAGGGACCAGAACGGGCCAUCUUACUGUGACUAGCUCGCCAUGGUUGUAUGCUUGCUCAAUGGUAUAUGGCCUUGGUGGCGGAACAGGAGCAGUGGCAGCAGCUGGGGCUUCAGGCUGCACAACAGGUGCUUCGGGAGCAGUUGCCUCAUUGGUUUCAGGCACACUGGUUGGUUCAAGCUCCACAUUAGCUUCAGCCAUGACUACGUCAUUGGCUUCACUUGCGUUGGUAGUGGAAGCUUCAUGAUUUUCAACCUCCACUUGAUGAGCUGGAGGGUCGGGCACUGGCACGUUCACUUUAGGAACAUCUUCUUCAAUAACUGGGGGAGUAGGAACUUGUACGUCUUCUUGUCUUUCAUCGGCUGAUGCAGCCGGAUUGUCUUCAGCAGCUUGGGCUUUAGACACGGAGACAUUCUCAGUUGGAGUGGCUUCAGGAAACACUUGACGUGCAACAGGUUGAGGAUGCACUUCUCCUUCUGGAACGCUCGGAAGAGGGACUUGAGGCCUUGGUCCUUUGCGAAGCCGUUGUAGGACAGGCGAUGCCUUGGGAGAUGGAGUAGGUAGGUCCUCAUCCUCUUCAACUUGAACAGAUGGUGUGGCUUGUUGUUGUUGUUGGGGAGUACUGGGGGAGUCUUGUUGUUGUGGGCGAUCAGCCCAUGAUGCAUCCUGAGCAAUUGGCAUCAGAGGACGACCAAUGCUGAUGAAGGCUUCAGAGGCUUCAGUAUUCUUCCUCUUUCUGGCUUCAGCCUCGGCAACCCUCGUCUUUUUCUGUUUUGAAGCGGUUGAUGAGACCUUUGGCUUCGAGCCAGUCAUGCUGCUUGGGAAGAUAAUGCGAGUUGCUUCUUGAGAUGAAGACUCAGGUUGGGCAGUAGAGAGCUUCUUCUUGUUCUUUGCAGCCAUCCUGGGGUCAAUGCCAGGACGGCCAAGAGACUUACGCUUCUCAGCCUCAUUGUAGGCAAGUACACACUUGUCAGCCAAACUCUUCAUACGCUCGCGAGAGCCUUGAGCUUCUUGGCGCUUCUUGAGAAAGGCUUCUUUAAGCUCAUGCAGCAUGACCUUGAAGUUUCUGACAUCUUGCACACUGAGCUUCGCCACAUGCUUCUUGAACUGAGCCUUCUCAUAAUCAAUUUUGUUCUUCAGCUCAACGAUGCGCUGAGCAAGAGCUAGCUCAGAAGCAAUGGCGCCAUUAAAGGAGACGCUGAGGCCAAUGGGAAGCUGCAGAUCGUCAAAGCUGAGGUUUGGUGUAUCAAACCACUCAUCAAUGAAGUUAUGGAUGACUGCCACAUCGAAGAGAGGCAGGUUGUUGAAGAUCUCUGCUUCUUCCUUGCUUUUGAUCAAUUGCUCAAGGGCAUCAUCUGCAAGAUCUUCAUCGCUAGAUAGAUCAAUGGGAUCUUCACGCAGAAUGGCAGCAGGAGUUAAGGUUUGAUCAGAAUGCCUGACAAUUUGCUUUUUCUUCUCCGUCUUCUUGGAGAUUCAGGAUUGAUCUUCAGACUGCACACUGUCUUCAGGAGGUGCAGUGGCCAGAGGCCUCACAUGAGAAACUUUCGGAGGUGCAGCUGAUGUUGAAGCCUUAACUUUCUUUGGCUUCUGGGGCCUUGGAGGAGGAGCUGAGGCUUCAUCAGUGUCAGCAUCAUUAUCAGAAUGAUCUACCCUGGCACCUUGGACCAAGAUGUAGGUGAUGAGUCCAUCGAGGUUGGAGAAGGGGCCGAUGACAUUAGGAUUUGCAUCACGAGAGCCGUCGACACGAGGAGCAGAGGGACCAGGGUUGAAGUCUAAUCCCAAUGACUUCUUGUUUUCCUUGGCCGAAGCCUUGGCGUGCUGAAAGUUGCACUUGAAGAGAGCAUCAUCACGACACCAGAGUAAUGAUGUGGGAUCGGCAUUCUCAGGCUGAGGUCCACGGACCAUGCAGGGAUAGAAACCUUGUGCAAUAGCUUCAACUCUGUUCUUGGGUUGAAGGCCUCGAUAGAGAAUAUCGCCCCAAGGACUCUUGAUAGCAUUCUUCUCUGCAUAUUCCUUGGUCACGAACUUGUACUUGAACCAUUCUUCAGCCCAAUAGCGUCGAAUCCAUUGGAUUCGUGUCUUGCGCUGAUGAUAAUUCUCUUCAGGAUCUGUCUUGUAGAGCUCUGCUAGGUCAUCAGGCAGAUCUUUUGAUGUACCCCCUCGAUGCUGUCUGCCACCCUUCCUUACUGAUUUCUCUACAGCCAUGAACUUCAAACUGAAUGGCUUCAAUAUGUUCAAGGGCUUCAGAGGCUUACGCUUGCUGGUCAAGCAGGAGCUGGCUUCAGGAGAAUUAAUGUGAUGCUGUAAGUAUUCUGCAAACGAAUGCAGACUAUGAGAACCAAAGGAUUCUCCCACGGACAUGUACCUGUGACAGCAUUAGAGAUGCGAGGGAAGGGGAAGAGGUCAUAUGCAUUCUCAGAAGAUUUUGAAGAUAAAUCAGUUUGAAGACAUUGACCUCAUGAUGCGAAGACAUUCACUUGUAUGUUGUGAGUUGGUUCUAGAUUUGUACGAAUCUGUGAAUAAGUACAAGUGAGGAAUCAAACUAGAUAUGAAACUUAACUGAAUAGUCUAGGCAGUAUGAGAUGCAGACAGAAUAGAUCUAACAUUGUGUAGGCAGAAACCACUUUUGGUAAAUAGGAUAAAUCUUGAAGAUCAAAAAGGUGGUAAAAAUAGAGUUAUAAUUACCGCACGAAGAACUGCUAGAUGGGAUGAAUAGGAGACCGAGCAGUUCAGUCCACCGUGCCCUAACUUGGCGACGGAGGACACCUACAGCGACGGCGGAGAGGACGAUGUCCGCGGCCGGCGUGAGGACGGCGUCGGAGAAGUCACGGCAGCUAAGCGCUUCGUCGCCGGCGUCCUCGAGAGCUAGCGGUGGCGCUAGGGUUUUGAUGAGGUGGAGAGGUGGAAGAAGGAUUUCUUACCGCAGGGGACAAGUAUUUAUAUGUAGGUGUGCAGCACAGCGCAAUUACGCUGGUGCCCUGGCGGUUCACAUCUGAGGGGCACGUGGCAAGCAUGCAACAUACUCAGAGUUGUCCCACGUUCCCACGCCCGCCAGGCAUGUCGGAUGGUUGUUCUGGCUUCUCCGGAUUUCAACAGUAAAAAUGAGUUAUUUAAAAAUAGACUUAAUGUUUGUCUCUGUGCCUUCUGCUGACUAGGACGCAGAGAAGACAUUCGACAGUGUCAAUAGAAUGCAUAUGAUUUGGACAGAUAGAGUUUGAGAUUGAAAGCAUAGAGAAGUUAGGGUCCUAUCACAUUCACUUAGUUCAGAAGAUUCAACUUGAAGACAUAGCUAUAAGUGAAUGCAGUAGAGGACAGAACACUAGUGUAUAUAUGUUUCAGAAAGCAAUCAAAUCAUCAUAGUGAAGGAAAUCAUGAAGAUAAAUUGAAACUAAAGACAAACCAAAUGCAAAGUCAUUGCAAAAAUAACGCCAUGAGUGAAACACUUCAAACAGAGAAAUUUGGUGGUGGCGUUUCCCACCGUAUAGGAAGUAUUAGACCCAGACACGGCGCACAAUUAUCGUGGCGCUCCGAAGUCAAAUUCCAUGUUAAUGUAUUCACACUUAGAUUGUAAGUCUUCAUUGAUUGAAGAUAUACAUUACUUUGUGUGUUGCACAUCUAAGUCAUCAACAUGCAUAAGUGUUAGGAUGUGUGCCUAAUCACAGGACAUUUGAGGAUUCCAAGAUAUUUAGCUCACAUCGUAACUUGUAAAACCUUUUCUCAUCCAAGGGCUUUGUGAAGAUAUCUGCCAGUUGCUCUUCAGUGUUGACGUGAAUGAUGUUAAUAUCUUUCUUCAUGACAUGAUCUCUGAGAAAGUGAUGACGAAUUUCAAUGUGCUUUGUCUUCGAGUGCUGGACUGGAUUGUUGGCUAUCUUGAUGGCACUUUCAUUGUCGCAGAAGAGAGGUACUUGUUUCAGAUUGAUGCCAUAGUCCUUGAGAGUUUGCUUCAUCCAGAGAAGCUGAGCACAACAAGAUCCAGCAACAAUGUAUUCAGAUUCAGCAGUUGAGAGUGAUACACAGUUCUGCUUCUUUGAAGACCAACAGACAAGUGAUCGACCCAGAAAGUGACAUGUGCCUGAUGUAGACUUGCGAUCCACCUUGUCACCAGCAUAAUCAGCAUCCGAGAAUCCAAGCAAAUCAAAUUUUGAGCCCUUGGGAUACCAUAAUCCGAGUGUUGGGGUGUAAGCCAAAUAUCGAAGAAUUCGCUUCACAGCUAAGUGAUGCGAUUCCUUUGGUGCCGCUUGGAAUCGAGCACACAUGCAAACACUAAGCAUAAUAUCUGGCCUUGAUGCACAUAGAUAAAGUAAAGAACCAAUCAUGGAGCGGUAUACCUUUUGGUCGAACUCUUUACCAUUGUCGUCGGGACCAAGAUGGUGUUUGGCUGGCAUUGGCGUCGUGUAGCCUUUGCAGUCUUCCAUUCCAAACUUCUUCAGACAAUCUUUGAGGUAUUUUUCUUGAGAUAUGAAGAUGCCAUUGCUUUGCUGACGAAUUUGAAGACCAAGGAAGAACUUCAACUCAUCCAUCAUGGACAUCUGAUAUUGCUCUUGCAUCAUGUAGCCAAACUCAUCAGUAUACUUCUGGUUGGUGCAACCGAAGAUUAUGUCAUCCACAUAUAUUUGGCACACAAACAGUUCACCAUCAUAUGUCUUCGUGAAGAGUGUGGGAUUGAGGGAUCCAGGUUUGAAGCCUUUGCUCUUCAGGAAGUCUUUGAUCAUAUCAUACCAUGCACGAGGAGCUUGUUUGAGGCCAUACAGUGCUUUGUUUAGCUUGUACACCAUAUCAGGAUGUUUUGGAUCUUUAAAGCCAGGUGGUUGAGCGACAUAUACUUCUUCUUCAAUCUUGCCAUUGAGAAAUGCACUCUUCACAUCCAUUUGAUAUAGCAAGAUGUUGUGAUGAUUAUCAUAGGCUAGCAGUAUGCAGAUAGCUUCAAGCCUAGCCACAGGAGCAAAUGUUUCAUCGAAGUCAAUUCCUUCUACCUGAGUAUAUCCUUGAGCCACAAGACGUGCUUUGUUUUUGACGACUUGACCAUGCUCAUCUUGCUUGUUUCGAUAUAUCCAUUUUGUUCCAACAAUGUUAUGCUUGCGAGGGUCAGGUCGCUUGACAAGAUCCCAAACAUUGUUUAGCUUGAACUGUUGAAGUUCUUCUUGCAUAGCUUGAAUCCAUUCAGGUUCCAUAAAGGCUUCAGCAACUUUCUUGGGUUCUGAUAUUGACACAAAUGAAAAGUGCCCACAGAAGUUUGCCAACUGUGUUGCCUUUGAGCGAGUGAGUGGACCAAGUGCAUUGAUGCUAUCAAUUAUCUUCUCAAUUUGUACUUCAUUUGCAACACGAGGAUGAACAGGACGAAGAUUUUGCUCUUGCUGAUCAUUGUCAUCAUUGGGAGGAUUAUCUUCGGUCUGAGCAUUGUCUUCAGGUUGGUUAGGGGCAGAAAUGACAAGUUCCUCUUCAGGCUGAGCUUCAGAGGGCAUGAUUUCACCAGUUCCCAUCAGCUUGAUAGAUUCGCUUGGAGGAGCUUCAUUAAGUGUACUCGGCAGGAGUUCUCUUUGUGAACCAUUGGUUUCAUCGAAUCUCACAUCCAUAGUUUCGACGAUCUUGUAUAGAUAGAGGUUGAAGACUCUGUAGGAGUGAGAGUCCUUUCCAUAGCCAAGCAUGAAGCCUUCGUGAGCCUUAGGUGCAAACUUCGACUUGUGAUGGGGAUCCUUGAUCCAGCAUCUAGCACCAAAGACCUUGAAGUAGCUGACAUUUGGCUUCUUGCCAGUAAGGAGCUCAUAGGAUGUUUUGUUCAGAAGCUUAUGGAUGUAGACACGGUUGAUGACGUGACAUGCUGUAUCAAUAGCUUCAGGCCAGAACUUUCUUGGUGUCUUGUACUCAUCGAGCAUUGUUCGAGCCAUCUCAAUUAGAGUUCUGUUCUUGCGCUCAACGAUGCCAUUUUGCUGAGGUGUGUAUGGAGCAGAGAACUCAUGAGUGAUUCUCAUUGUAUCCAGAUAAAGAUCAAGUCCGGUGUUCUUGAAUUCAGUGCCAUUAUCACUUCUGAUAUGCUUGAUCUUCACGCCAUAAUUGUUCAUUGCUCGAUUGGCGAAUCGUUCGAAGACAUCUUGUACUUCAGUCUUGUAGAGAAUUAUAUGCACCCAUGUGUAUCUUGAGUAGUCAUCAACAAUGACGAAGCCAUACAAACAAGCAGUUGUUGUGAGGGUGGAGUAGUGAGUAGGUCCAAAUAAGUCCAUGUGUAACAGCUCGAAGGGUUGAGAUGUUGUCAUGAUUGUCUUCGAGGGGUGCUUUGCCCUAGUCAUCUUCCCAGCUUCACAGGCACCACACAAAUGAUCUUUCUUGAACUUGACAUCCUCGAUACCAAUGACAUGCUUCUUCUUGACGAGUGUGUGUAAGUUCCUCAUGCCAGCAUGUCCCAGCCUUCGAUGCCAGAGCCAGCAUUCCGAAGCUUUUGUGAGAAGACAUACGGCAAGUUGUGGACCUGCUGAGAAAUCUACCAUGUAUAGAUCAUAUUUCCUAUAUCCUUCAAAGACUAGAGACUUGUCAGAUUCCAUUAGUACAAGGCAACGAUAUUUUCCAAAUAGCACAGUCAUGUUUAAGUCACAAAGCAUUGAGACAGACAUUAAGUUGAACCCAAGGGAUUCAACAAGCAUCACUUUAUCCGUGUGUUGAUCCUUAGAGAUUGCAACUCUACCUAGACCCAAUACCUUGCUUUUACCAGUGUCAGCAAAUGUGAUUUGACUCUUGUCGGAUGGACGUAAGGUUGAGUCCAUGAGAAGACUGCGAUCACCAGUCAUAUGAUUAGUGCAUCCGCUGUCAAUAAUCCAUUCUGAAGCUUUUGGUGACAUGCCCUACAGUGCAGUUAGGAGGAUAGGCUUCACAAGGUAUGUUGUGAAGCAUAAGCAUUUGACACACACUUGGAUUAUCAUAGCAUAGAUCAAGAUUAGAAUACACAGUAUGACAGGUAAGAGAUUCAUAUGUGGAAUACAUAGUAAGUCAUUUUAUCAUGCGUCCCUUUAUGUUUUAGGUCCCCAGCAAUAAUAUCGGACGCCAUUGAUUGCUGGCUGGAGACCACAUUCUGCAAAAGAGAGUUAAUUCUUCUUCACCACCCACAUUUUUAGGGGUGGCUUAGAAGCAAUGAGUCUAAGUGCAGCAGCUGAGAAUUUCGGCUUUGAAGCCCUAGCAGAUAGCCUUGCAGGAGAUGAAUGAUACUCAUGCGAAUAAGCAGAAAAGUUCUUAGUUCUAUGAACAUAGCGGUUUGAAGACACAUGCUCAUGUUCAUGAGUUUGAGUAUGAUUUCCCUGCAAAACAUUGGCAUUAGGGUGACUCAAGUGAGUCCUGUAUUCGUAUGAAGCCGUUGGACCAUAUGAUGCCUUUGGUCUGGGGUUUGUCUUCUUCCCAGGUGGUGUCAUGAUGACAUUCACUGGAAGAUUCUCAAGGCAGCUUUUGGGAACCCAGAUCUUCUUCAUAGGUGAUCCAUUCCUGCAGUUAGUACCAAUAUACCUGGCAAACACUUCACCAUUCUGAUUUUUGAACAGUUUAUAGUUUGCAUCAAAGGAUUCAUCAAUGAUAAUAGGAUUAGCACAGGUAAAUCCAGAUAAAGUGGACGGAUCCACUGAAGGUUCCUUUGCAGCAACCCAUGUGGUUUUGGGAUACUGCUCAGGCUUCCAGUAGGAACCAUCAGCAUUCAUUUUCCUGUCGAACCCAACACCCUCUUUCCUAGGGUUUCGGUUCAGAAUCUGCUUUUUGAGGACAUCGCAGAGUGUGUGAUGUCCCUUCAAACUUUUGUACAUCCUGUUUCAAGCAAUGUCUUCAACCUAGCAUUUUCAUCAGCAAUAUUAGUGGUAUCCUCUGCAGAGGGGUUAGUAACCACAUCAGUAGUUGAAGACAAUGAAACAGCAGCAGCAGUGGAACAUCCAGCAACAGAUGUAGCGUUAUCACGCUCAAUGCAUUUUAGACAUGGUGGUUCAAAUCCAUCCUGAGCGGGACUGAUCUGUUGAGCGCGAAGUGACUCUUUCUCUUUUUGAAGAUCUUCAUGAGUCGCUUUCAAUUUCUCAAGCUCUUGCUUCCUUUGAAGAUAAUCAUAGGAGAGCUUUUCAUAUGUGGUUGAGAGCGUCUCAUGAAGACUUUCAAGUUCUUGGUACUUAGCAUGAAGAUUUUUUAUGUCUUCUACUAAGGACUGUGUCGGGGAUAUACCCCGCGGCGUAAACUGGCCGGAAGUUUAACCCGGCCGGACUUGGCGGUUUAUCUGAAGACCCCGCUGGCACUUGGCGAUUCACCGGGCGACCCGUUUGGACCUGGCGGUUCACGACUCAUUGGUAAUCCGGCAGGUGGGUACGAGGAGCGACAAGACCUGGUGGCCCAACGGGCGGUUCAUGAAGGCCGGUUCAUACUAUGGUGGGCCGGUUUAAGAGGAAAGGCAGGAGGAAUAUUUACCUUACAAGGAGUUAAGACCAGGACUUGUAUCCGGUUUGUAUUAGAGAUAGAGUAGUCCUAAUCCUAAUAGGACUCCACAUGUAAACCGCCCCUUCAACAUAUAUAAGGAGGGGCAGGGCUCCCCAAAGGGGGACAAGCAAGAAACAAUCUUAGGGCUAGACACAAAGAGGAGAGCCGGUUUACGACGACUCCCUCAUGAUGAUAAUGAGACCUAGCCUCAAACAGCAUGUAGGGUUUUUACGGGAUGAUGUUUCCCGGGGCCCGAAGCUGUCUAAACCCUUGUCUUGUGCAUUGAUCCGCCCUGCGUCUCUCAUCCCAAUCAACCCCUCUCAAGCUACCACAUAGAUGCACUGGCCUCGCGACUAAGUCCUGACACUAAGGACAUCUGCCGUGACAAAACCACGACAGUUGGCGCCCACCGUGGGGCCUGCGCACGGUGGUGUUGAGUUCUUGGAGGGAUCUGUCCUAGGGUUUCGAGAAGUUUGCGAUUUGCCGGAUAGAGAAGAGCCGGUGAAGAAGGAUCUAAAUCAACUAUGAGUUUAUCGCUGAAGAUUGGAAGAGUUUUUUGCAGCCGCGUAAAACAGAUGAGAGUCAGAAGGAAAAUUCAGGAUCGACUGGCCAAACGCGUCUGCCCACAAAAUCUGUUGAACCCUAGAAAAUAGGGUCACGUCUGUGUGCGCAGCCGCCGUUCUAUGAUUGGUCAAGUCACAAGUGUUGCCGAGACCGACUAGAGUUCAAGGCAAUCGAAACCGUUUUGUUCACGUGCUGCCUAAUUACGUGGUAGGGUCAAACUCUUGGAAAUUACGGCCGUUCGGCAAAGUUGCUGGGACCCCUCGCUUCAAGUUUUGGAGAUGAUUCACCGGUGCACUGUAUCUGAAAGGCCAACGGACAUCUACUAGUACUCCUACAAAGCGCCAAAGUCAUCUAGAGUCCGCAGCAAAGUCGAAGCAAACCUAAUUAUCAUAUAUUGCUCCUCUAUCACUUUCCACUAUUAAUACUUGUAUUAGUAGUGGGCACAUGGACCAAAGUCAAUGGAUCUUCACCUCCUCACGUGAAGACUAGUACACUACUCCUCACCAGGAUUAAAUAGAAGAAAAGAUUUGGAGUUGUUCAGAGAUUGAAGAUAUGGCUGUUGUUUGUCUGACACGGGCUCAGACACGUAUAGAAAAAGGAAAGCCAGGUACCUCAUUACAGUGAAAAAAAAGUGCCAAGUCAACGAUGACCCAAAGAAGGAUUUUUGGUACUACUAUGGCCUCGCUUCGCUCACCUGGUCGCCCCGGGUCGACUUGCAAGUCGCCCUGCCGUGCCAAUUUCCUCCCCACGGCCGGUUCCCACGCCGGCUGGCCAACUCACUGGCCCCGGCCUGCUUUGAGCUCGGAUGUAUGCAUCGUCCUCGUCCAGCACCCGGCCUCUAAGCUGCUGCCAUGACCCGCCUGCGCCUCGCUGGUUUUGCCUCCGCAGUCAAGUCACCUCGCGACCCAGCUGUGUCAAAUGGUACUGAGCCACCCUGACGGUCCUGGCACGCCUCAGACUGUCUUCGCCGUGAGCCGCCUUCGCCGGUUUGCGAGUCACGUGUGACCGCACCUUGCUUUGUCGAGCCGCCGGCCUCUGUUUUCGCCUUGCCAGCGUGCAACUGCUGCCGUGACCUCACCCCGGCCGGCCUUCACCGACCAGCUGCCUUGUGUGUAUCUAUUUUAAAAUCGCUGAUGGAGAGCCGCCCGUCCCUGUUGUUGCGCUCGCAUCGCCACGGGUCUCUAAGAAACGCCUCGCUUCUAUUACAAUUUUGAAACCGCCAGACCACUUUGAAAGCGGCCACCAUCGACCGAGCUGUCAAAUCGCCGAUCGCCAAGACCAAGAUUUCCGAUGCAACCGUUCUUGCCCAAAGUCGAGUUGCCGCCGCUGCAGUUUUUUCUCCGUAGUAAAAAGGACUGGAGGGAGUAUCAGGCAAUUUCAAGUACCGAGGCAGCAAGGACGAUAUUGCUGCUUCUCCACAGCAUCACGCAGGGUCACCCGAUGCAGAAGCAAGCUGCCACUCUGCUGUUGCUGCUGCUUGGGAAGUACAACUUCAACUAGUACUCACGUGAAGCUACUCUGCUAGUUCGUCCUUUGUUUGUUACCUUUACAGGCGCGCCAGCAACCUGGGAUACUAUCAGCCGCUGCACGCUGAAGAAAGCUACCAACAUCAUGAUUUGGGAAAGGGAUUUCAACAAUUUGAAAAUCAUUUGGAUGACAUCAAAGGUUGAACCAGCGACGUUGCGGCCAUCUUGAGCCGCCGAGGGUCGCGCCAAAGCCGCUGCCAUGGCUCACCAGUUUCUGAAACAUCAGGUGAUAUCUUUCUUUUAUAUUUCAUCAACGUGACAAUUCAUGUGAGGACAACUACUCGGGUAUGCACUAUUGUUUAUGCAGGGCAAUUAUUUAUGACAAAAAGUGAUAUUAUACCGCGGAGACGGAGGCACGCCAACAUCUUUUGGCACGGGUGGUCGUCUCUCGCGACCGCGCCGACUUACAACACCGUGGCCGUCUCUCGCGACCGCGCCAACUUACAACACCGUGGCCAUCUCUCGCGACCACGCCAGCUUACAACAAGGAGGACGAUUCGCCCAUCCGCACCGGCUUACAAACGCUGCGGCUGAUUCAUCUGUCUGCUCCCGCGGCCGACUCACCCGUGAGUGAUUUCAACUUAACCUAGUGAUCAUCAACUUCAUGGCGGAUUAUUUCUGGCCUAACACAUCAGGUGAUAUCCAUUUUAAAUAUAUUUUAUUGGCACAUAUUAUUUUGUCAAAAGAGCAGUUUAUCUUUGCCUUGGUCUGCAAUAUUGUUAAUGCAGGACAAUUAUUCACUACAUCAAAACGACAUGGUUGACUCGCCUGCGUCGGUUUACAGGACCGCGGCCGAUUCAUCCGUCUGAGCCGCCUCUGAUGCGGCGGUCGUCUUUACUGACCGUCUCUCGCGGCCUGGUCUACAUCAACACACCGGGACACCCUUUUUCUGGAUGAGCUGUUUAUUGAAGUAUGAGCAAGUCACAGCUUCGGUAGCCCAACUUUCUUUCAAAUUGGAGGCAAAUUAUUAUCAACCACCGUCUGCACUGGAUGGUUCAAUGGGCAGGCGCACAAGUCGCCGCCACUACAGUUUGAUUAAUUUCAAAUCGCCAGUUGGAAGGAGACAUUGGCCAAGUUGCUGACACGGCUCAUACGGGAUCAUUUAUAACCCGCCGCAGUCACCUCAAUCUUCUAUGGAUUCACAUCGGGCUAUCAACACCAAUGAUAUACAACUUAUGCCGGUUUACAUCACGGUCACAUAUGGAGAGUCUCAAGCCAACUCCUCGAGUCACCUUUGAGACUCGGGGGCUACAAUGACAUGACUCAGCAAAUCUUGCCAGUUUCAGCGAAAUUAAGAAUCCUAGGAUCAUUGGAGGGAAAGAUAACCCGGUCCCGGAGGCUCCUGUUAUAUUGAUGAAAAUUUAAAGGCUGUCAGGAAAUUUCCGGCUUAGAAAGUAUAUGACAGUUACAAAAUCCCGGCUCAAUGAAGAAGUCCCGGGUCAUCAGAAAGGAUUCUGGUUUAAAAUCCGGCUCAAGGGAAGUCAGUCUCACUGAAGCUCUCAAAUAUCCAGUUUACAAUCCAGUUCAAGGGAAAUCUAUUCUCCCACAAAGCUCUGAAGUGCUCAAAUCCGGUUUAAGAAUUUCCGAUUCAAAAAGGAAUUAACUUCUCGCAAGUUCGAGUUUAAAGGCCGUCAGAAAAUUUCCGGCUAAAAAUGAAGAUUCCGGUUUAAAAUCCGGUUCAAGGGAAAGAUGUCUCCCACAAAAGCUUUGAAGCUCUCAAUAUCCGGUUUAACGUCCGGCUCAAGAAGGAUUUAUCUCUUGCAAAAAUUAAUGGGUGCCAAAGAGGACCUGCUGCCAUGAUGCACGGUUCAAACAUGGGUAUCAUGCCUUAUUGGCUUAUCAUGUUAUUGAUCACUUGGGGGCUUGGUCAUGUCUGAACCAUAGUCACACCUCUUGAUCGGCGCAAUGCCACAGUAUCACUUGGGGGCUUGGUCGCGUCCGAACCAAUGCAACACCUUUUGAUAGGCAAAAGCCACCAGAUCACUUGGGGACAUAGUCAAGUCUGAACCAGUCACGCCUCUUGAUCGGCCUAAGGCCACAGAAUCACUUGGGGGCUUGGUCGAACCCGAACCAUUGCCAUGCCUUUUGAUCGGCAUAAAUGCCACGGUUUCAUUUGGGGACCUGGCUGACUUGAACCAUCGCCACACCUAUUGGGGGCUUGGUCCUGUCGGACCAUGGUAACACCAUCUGAUCAACUCAUUAAAGCAUUUUUCUUGCAAACGGUUUUAUCAUUGCCUUUUGCUUCAGUCUUUUUCUUAAAUGACUAUUAUUUUUGUUGCGUUUUUUUUAAACCGACAUUAUUAAUCCGGUUCGACUUUCAAUUACAAAUUGGCGGAACACGGUCAAAUCUUAAUCCGGAGACUAUCUGCCCGGUUUGAUUUUAUGUUACCAUCUUAUUAUGGAGUAAACCGGUGUUCAUUAACCCGGCUUGACUUUCAAUUACAAGUUGUCAGUACAUGAUCAAAUCAUAAUCCGGAGACUAUCCGCCCGGUCUGGUUUCGACUAUAAGUCGCCAACACUAUAUAUGGAUAAUCCGGUGUUAAUCACAAGCCGGUACGGUUUAUCAUAAACCGGCACAAUAUGGAAGGAGUUAUCAGUACUCAAAAUUUGGGUUAUUACCUCUACUACAAAAAGUUGGUAAACCAAUGAUGUGAUUCAAUGUCAUAGGUAUGAUAUAUUUCAUAUUUGAUUAUUCUUAAGUGCAGCCUUGGUUAUAAACCUGGGUUAUAUGUUGGGCAUUAUGACCCGUCCGGCGGUAAACCACCAGGACACUUUAAACUUGUUGUAUGCAGAAACAGGUUGAAUAAAUCAUGAUUAUAAAUCACUAGUGUUUAUUAAACCGGCCUGGCUUUAAGACGAUAAGUCUCCAGUCUAUGAGGAGAAAUUGUCCGGUGUUUAUUAAACCGGCCUGGCUUUGGACUAUAAGUCGUCAGUAUAUAUUUGGAUUGCGCCAUUGGAAUCAUGCGCUUAUAAAUCAUUUGGUUAUAUUAUUCAAAUAGCCAAACUUGGCUGAAUUUUCAUUAUGAUAUUGAAUGAAUAAAGUUUUCAUACCGGAUUAUAUUAUCUUGAAUAGCCAACAUGGCUGGAUUUUAUUAUGGUUUUUAAUAACCGGUAUUAUUGAGGUUUUCAAAGUCGCUUUAGUGCAAUGGCUAUUAUUUUAUCAAAGGAUAUGAUUUAUUCUACAAUGAAAGGAAUAGUCCCGAGUCGCUGCAGGCUUACGACCUGGCACUUGGGGGCUACAUUAUUCAAAUUGAGAUUACAUCGAAUAUGCAAGUCCCAUAUCACUGCCAGCAUGCACCAUGACACUUGGGGGCUAAUGCAAAGUCAUUGUUUGCUCACCUUAUUGAAGACCCGACUCAUCACAUCGUAAUGAGCCGGCCCUUGGGAGCUACCAAUUGCUCUUGUCAACAAUUCAAGGUACACAAAUUUUCAUUUAUCAUUGAAGAGUCCACUACUCAAUUGGUAAAGCACAAGGCUCUUAACCUUGCGGACAUGGAUUCAAGCCCCAUGAUGGGAGUUACAUCAUAUGAUGUUAUUUUCAUUGAAGUAUAUAUCAAGUCCCAGCUCAAUAUUAUCUUACUGAGCCGACCCUUGGGGGCUACACCGUUGCUAUUCAAAGUUUACAUGAUUAUAUUUACAAAGUCCCUGCUCAUUAUUGCAUAAUGACCCGGCCCUUGGGGGCUACACUGGUUGGAGUUUUUAUGAGUAUAAGACAAUUACAAGUCCCAGGUUGCUGCAAGCAGGACAAUCCGGCACUUGGGGACUAGAUAAUAUAGAGUAUUCAGUUUUUACUAAGUGACUGGGAUGAACAUAAUAUAGAGCAUUCAGUUUUUACUAAGUGACUGGGAUGAACAACAUGGAUUUCUUCUUAAGUGGCAGUAUUUAUAUUGAAGCAAGUCUUAAGCCAUCCCUUUGUUCUGCUCAAGACUUGGGGGCUACAGGUAUUAUAUUAUUAUCGAAGAACUAUUUUCAAAUUCUCAGUUUUGAGCAAACCGGAUUGACCCGGCGUCACCAAUCAUUACGACCCUGUGGCUGCAACCCGGCGUCAUCAAUAAUCAUGAACCGGCGUUGGCAACAAUCAUGAACCGGCGUUGGCAACAAUCAUGACCCGGAAUUAUCAGUUUUUAUAACUCGGCAGUUUUGGUAAUGAUAAACCGACAAGUUCUACAUCUUCAAACCGGCCGAAUUUCAGAUGAGUAUUUCAAGACCAAAAUUUCUUAAACUGACGCUUUGGAAGCCGACUCAAGUGGAUUAUUCUUAACAAUAUUUUCUAUGAGAAGCCAACAUCAGCAAUUUGAGUAUGAAGCUGGUUAUUGACCCGGAUUUUCUAGGAGGAAAUGACAAGGACUAAGGAUGAUCAGAUGCCGGUUUACAAGAAUUCUUAAUCCGGAGCACAACCUGUCAAAUUUGUUCUUGUGUUUAUUUUGCAGCAUAAGUUUACCAUGGAUAAAUCCAAGCUAAACUUGGGGGAUAUACCCCGCGGCGUAAACCGGCCGGAAGUUUAACCCGGCCGGACUUGGCGGUUUAUCUGAAGACCCCGCUGGCACUUGGCGAUUCACCGGGUGACCCGUUUGGACCUGGCGGUUCACGACUCAUUGGUAAUCCGGCAGGUGGGUGCGAGGAGCGGCAAGACCUGGUGGCCCAACGGGCGGUUCAUGAAGGCCGGUUCAUACUAUGGUGGGCCGGUUUAAGAGGAAAGGCAGGAGGAAUAUUUACCUUACAAGGAGUUAAGACCAGGACUUGUAUCCGGUUUGUAUUAGAGAUAGACUAGUCCUAAUCCUAAUAGGACUCCACAUGUAAACCGCCCCUUCAACAUAUAUAAGGAGGGGCAGGGCUCCCCAAAGGGGGACAAGCAAGAAACAAUCUUAGGGCUAGACACAAAGAGGAGAGCCGGUUUACGGCGACUCCCUCAUGAUGAUAAUGAGACCUAGCCUCAAACAGCAUGUAGGGUUUAUACCGGAUGAUGUUUCCCGGGGCCCGAAGCUGUCUAAACCCUAGUCUUAUGCAUUGAUCCGCCCUGCGUCUCUCAUCCCAAUCAACCCCUCUCAAGCUACCACAUAGAUGCGCUGGCCUCGCGACUAAGUCCUGACACUAAGGACAUCUGUCGUGACAAAACCACAACAGACUGUGAACGUGUCAUUUCCGUGUCCAACAGGUCAUCGCUUUUGUCUAACAGUUUUUGAGUAUGUUCCAUAGCCCUUUGUUGUUCAGUAGCAAUUUUAGCAAGUGUUUUGUAGCUGGGUUUGGAUUCACAAUCAGAGUCAUCUUCACUUGAUGUUUGAAAGUAAGCAUCGCGUGAUUUUACCUUGGCACCACAUGCCAUGAAGAAGUAGGUGGGAGCAGGAUCGUCCUUGUCAUCAGCUUCAGCGUUGGUGUGGAAGUCAUUGCCUUCAGUGUUGAAGAUGGACUUGGCAACAUAGGCUGUGGCACGAGCCAGACUUGCAACGCCAGGGUCAAACUCUUCUCCGGACUCCACCUCCGCCUCCUCAGAAGCAGACUCCUCCUCUGAAUCCAUUUCCUUGCCAACAAAGGCACGAGCCUUGCCAGAUGAGCUCUUCUUGUGUGAUGAAUACUUGGAAGAAGACUUAGAGGAAGACUUUGAGGAUUUCUUCUUCUUCUUGUCAUCAGAAUCAUAUUCCUUGCUCUUCUUCUUCUUCGUCUUCUUCUCAUUGUCCCACUGUGGACACUCAGAUAUGUAGUGACCAGGUUUCUUGCACUUGUGGAAGGUUCUCUUCUUGUGGUCAUGGGUGGAAGCUUCAUCAUUCUUGGAACUAGACCGUGAAGACUUUCUAAAGCCCUUCUUCUUGGUGAACCUCUGAAACUUCUUCACAAGCAUGGCAAGUUCCUCUCCAAUGUCUUCAGGAUCAUCAGAACCGCAGUCAGAUUCCUCUUCAGAUGAGGAAACCACUUUUGCCUUCAAGGCGCGAGUUCGGCCAUAACUGGGACCAUAGAUAUCUCUUUUCUCAGAAAGCUGGAACUCAUGUGUGUUAAGCCUCUCAAGUAUAUCAGACGGAUCGAGUGUCUUGAAGUCAGGACGUUCUUGUAUCAUGAGGGCAAGGGUGUCAAAGGAGCUGUCAAGUGAUCUCAGUAGUGUCUUGACGAUUUCAUGCUUGGUGAUCUCAGUGGCACCAAGAGCUUGAAGUUCAUUUUUGAUGUCAGUCAGACGAUCAAACGUGAGUUGGACAUUUUCAUUGUCAUUUCUCUUGAAGCGGUUGAAGAGGUUGCGAAGAAUACUGAUCCUUUGAUCUCUCUGGGUUGAGACGCCUUCAUUGACCUUGGAUAGCCAGUCCCAGACUAGCUUCGACGUUUCCAGAGCACUCACAUGGCCAUACUGUCCUUUGGUCAGAUGACCACAGAUGAUGUUCUUAGCAGUAUAGUCCAGUUGAAUGAACUUCUUGACAUCAGUGGGGGUGACACCUUCACCAGUUUUGGGAACGCCGUUCUUGACGACAUACCAGAGGUCGACAUCAAUGGCUUCAAGAUGCAUGCGCAUCUUAUUCUUCCAGUAGGGAUAUUCAGUUCCCUCAAACACGGGCAAGCAACGGAGACUUUGAUUAUCCCUGCAGUCGACAUAGCUGAAACUCCAGGUGGUUGAACCGAAUCACACAGAACAAGGGAGUACCUUGCUCUGAUACCAAUUGAAAGUGCUAGUAUCGACUAGAGGGGGGUGAAUAGGUGAUUUUUACGAAAGUCUUCAAAACUUGGAAGUUUCGAAGACAAACAAUAGAAAUGACCUAGUUAAUAUGCAGCGGAAGAUAAACUACCAUACGUAAGCCAUAGUCAAGUAUGCAAUGAUGUGAAAGUACAUGACUAAUAGCAGCUAAGUAGUAAGGAUCAGGAUGGAAGAUAGUAUGAAGCCAAUCAACAGUAGUAGUCAAGCAAUGAAGUCAAACAGGUACACAGAUAGGCAAUGACUUCAUGAAGACAAACUUAAGUAAAGGAAGGAAGAGGAUAGAACCAGUCACUUGUUGAAGACACAUGAUUUGUUGGACCAGUUCCAGUUGCUGUGACAACUGUACAUCUGGUUAGGGAGGCUGAGAUUCAACUCAGAAGACCGCGUCUUCACCUUAUUCCCCUUGAGCUAAGGACACCUAGUCCACGCCCAAUCACUCUGGUAAGUCUUCAAGGUAGACUCCCAAACCUUCACAGACUUCGUUCACCGGCAAUCCACAAUGACUCUUGGAUGCUCAGAACGCGACGCCUAACCGGCUGGAGGAUACACAGUCCUCAAGUGUAAUGAGUCUUCAGGUCACACAGACAGAAAGACUUCAGUGAUGCCUAACACUCUUUGGCUCUGGGUGUUUGGGCUUGGUCCUCGCAAGGAUUUUUCUCUCUCAAAGGCUUCGAGGUGAGUUGCUCUCAAAACGACAAAAGCCGUAGAAUAACUCUGAGCAGCCACCAAUUUAUGGUGUACGGGUGGGCUAUUUAUAGCCACUGGGCAACCCGACCUGAUAUGUCCGAAAUGACCCUGGGUCACUAAGGAACUGACACGUGUUCCAACGGUCAGAUUUCAAACACACACGGCAACUUUACUUGGGCUACAAGCAAAGCUGACUUAUCCAGCUCAGGAUAAGAUUUGCUCUCAUUGUCUUCGCUCGAAGACAUAGGAUUUGGGUUGAGCAUCACUUCAGUCACUCUGACUUAGUUCACUUGGACCCCACUUAACAAUACGGUGGUUCCUAUGACUCAACAAAGAAGAAAAGGAAACAACGAAACAACACAGUCUUCGCGCUCCAUAGUCUUCACUCAAUGUCUUCUCAUGUCAUAGUCUUCAAUAUGAAUAUCUUCACAUACCACCAUUGUCUUCACUAUCUUCAUACAUUUUUAGGGGUCAUCUUCGGUAGGUAAACCGAAUCAAAGAGGGACACUACCUGCGUUAUCCUGCAAUUCUCACAAACGCAUUAGUCCCUCAACCAACUUUGUCGUCAAUACUCCAAAACCAACUAGGGGUGGCACUUGAUGCACUUACAGUACGCUUACGUGAGACAGGUUCCACCGACUGACAUGCACUAGUUGCAUAAGGUGGCUAGCGGGUGUAUGUCUCUCCCACUUUAGUUGGAGCGGAUUCGAUGAAAAGGGUCCUUAUGAAGGGUAAAUAGAAAUUGGCAUAUCACAUUGUGGUUUUACGUAGGUAAGAAACGUUCUUGCUAGAAACCUAUAGAAGCCACGUAAAAACUUGCAACAACAAUUAGAGGACUUCUAACUUGUUUUUGCAGCAUAUGCCUUGUGAUGUGAUAUGGCCAAAAGGAUGUGAUGAAUGAUAUAUGUGAUGUAUGAGAUUGAUCAUGUUCUUGUAAUAGGAAUCACGACUUGCAUGUCCAUGAGUAUGACAACCGGCAAGAGCCAUAGGAGUUGUCUUUAUUUUUUUGUAUGACCUGCGUGUCAUUGAAUAACACCAUGUAAAUUACUUUACUUUAUUGCUAAACGCGUUUGCCAUAGAAGUAGAAGUAGUCGUUGGCGUGACAACUUCAUGAAGACACGAUGAUGGAGAUCAUGAUGAUGGAGAUCAUGGUGUCAUGCCGGUGAUGAAGAUGAUCAUGGCGCCCCGAAGAUGGAGAUCAAAGGAGCAAUAUGAUAUUGGCCAUAUCAUGUCACUAUUUGAUUGCAUGUGAUGUUUAUCAUGUUUUUCAUUUUAUUUGCUUAGAACGACGGUAGCUUAAAUAAGAUGAUCCCUUGAAAUAAUUUCAGGAAAAGUGUUCCCCCUAACUAUGCACCAUUGCGAAGGUUCGUUGUUUCGAAGCACCACGUGAUGAUCGGGUGUGAUAGAUCCUAACGUUCGAAUACAACGGGUGUAAGCCAGAUUUACAAACGCAAUACACUUAGGUUGACUUGAUGAGCCUAGCAUGUACAUACAUGGCCUCGGAACACGGAAGACCGAAAGGUCGAGCAUGAGUCGUAUAGAAGAUACGAUCAACAUGAAGAUGUUCACCGAUGAUGACUAGUCCGUCUCACGUGAUUAUCGGACAUGGCCUAGUUGACUCGGAUCAUGUUUCACUUAGAUGACUAGAGAGAUGUCUGUCUGAGUGGGAGUUCAUUGAAUAAUUUGAUUAGAUGAACUUAAUUAUCAUGAACUUAGUCUAAAAACCUUUGCAAAGUGUCUUGUAGAUCAAAUGGCCAACACUCAUGUCCACCUCAACUUCAACACGUUCCUAGAGAAAACCAAGCUGAAAGAUGAUGGCAGCAACUAUACGGACUCGGUCCGGAACCUGAGGAUCAUCCUCAUAGCUGCCAAGAAAGAUUAUGUCCUAGAAGCACCGCUAGGUGAAGCACCCAUCCCAGAGAACCAAGACGUUAUGAACGCUUGGCAGUCUCGUGCUGAUGAUUACUCCCUUGUUCAGUGCGGCAUGCUUUACAGCUUAGAACUGGAUCUCCAAAAGCGUUUUGAGCAACAUGGAGCAUAUGAGAUGUUCGAAGAGAUGAAAAUGGUUUUCCAAGCUCAUGCCCGGGUCGAGAGAUAUGAAGUCUCCGACAAGUUCUUCAGUUGUAAGAUGGAGGAAAAUAGUUCUGUCAGUGAGCACAUACUCACAAUGUCUGGGUUGCACAACCGCUUGACUCAGCUGGGAGUUAAUCUCCCGGAUGACACGGUUAUUGACAAAAUCCUUCAGUCGCUUCCACCGAGCUACAAGAGCUUUGUGAUCAACUUCAAUAUGCAGGGGAUGGAAAAGACCAUUCCUGAGGUAUAUUCAAUGUUGAAAUCAGCGGAGGUAGAGAUCAAAAAGGAACAUCAAGUGUUGAUGGUGAAUAAAACCACUGAGUUCAAGAAAGGCAAGGGUAAGAAGAACUUCAAGAAGGACGGGAAGGGAGUUGCCGCGCCCGGUAAGCCAGUUGUCGGGAAGAAGUCAAAGAAUGGACCCAAGCCUGAGACAGAGUGCUUUUAUUGCAAGGGAAGUGGUCACUGGAAGCAGAACUGCCCCAAGUACUUAGCGGACAAGAAGGACGGCAACACCAAAGGUAUAUGUGAUAUACAUGUUAUUGAUGUGUACCUUACCAACACUCGUAGUAGCUCCUGGGUAUUUGAUACCAGUGCGGUUGCUCAUAUUUGUAACUCAAAGCAGGAGCUGCGGAAUAAGCGGAGACUGGCGAAGGACGAGGUGACGAUGCGCGUCGGGAAUGGUUCCAAGGUCGAUGUGAUCGCCGUCGGCACGCUACCUCUACAUUUACCUACGGGAUUAGUUUUAAACCUCAAUAAUUAGUGCCAGCUUUGAGCAUGAACAUUGUAUCAGGAUCUCGUUUAAUUCGAGAUGGCUACUCAUUUAAAUCCGAGAAUAAUGGUUGUUCUAUUUAUAUGAGAGAUAUGUUUUAUGGUCAUGCCCCGCUGGUGAAUGGUUUAUUCUUAAUGAAUCUCGAGCGUAAUGUUACAAAUAUUCAUAGUGCGAAUACAAAAAGAUGUAAAGUUGACAACGAUAGUCCCACAUACUUGUGGCACUGCCGCCUUGGUCACAUUGGUGUCAAGCGCAUGAAGAAGCUCCAUGCUGAUAGACUUUUAGAGUCUCUCGAUUAUGAAUCAUUUGACACAUGCGAACCAUGCCUCAUGGGCAAAAUGACCAAGACUCCGUUCUCCGGAACAAUGGAGCGAGCAACCAACUUAUUGGAAAUCAUACAUACUGAUGUGUGCGGUCCAAUGAGCGUCGAGGCUCGCAGAGGCUAUCGUUAUGUUCUCACCCUCACUGAUGACUUGAGUAGAUAUGGGUAUGUCUACAUGAUGAAACACAAGUCUGAGACCUUUGAAAAGUUCAAGGAAUUUCAGAAUGAGGUAGAGAAUCAACGUGACCGAAAGAUAAAUUUCUUACGAUCAGAUCGUGGGGGAGAAUAUUUAAGUCACAAAUUUGGUACACACUUAAGGAAAUGUGGAAUCGUUUCACAACUCACGCCGCCUGGAACACCUCAGCGAAAUGGUGUGUCCGAACGUCGUAAUCGCACUCUAUUGGAUAUGGUGCGAUCUAUGAUGUCACUUACCGAUUUACCGCUAUCAUUUUGGGGAUACGCUCUAGAUUCAACUACAUUCACUUUAAAUAGGGCACCGUCUAAAUCCGUUGAGACGACACCGUUUGAAUUAUGGUUUGGGAAGAAACCUAAGCUGUCGUUUCUAAAAGUUUGGGGAUGCGAUGCUUAUGUCAAGAAACUUCAAACUGAAAAGCUCGAACCCAAGUCGGAAAAAUGUGUCUUCAUAGGAUACCCUAAGGAAACCAUUGGGUAUACCUUCUACUUAAGAUCCGAGGGCAAGAUCUUUGUUGCCAAGAAUGGGUCCUUUCUGGAGAAAGAGUUUCUCUCAAAAGAAGUAAGUGGGAGAAAAGUGGAACUUGAUGAAGUACUACCUCUUGAACCAGAAAGUAGCGCAACUCAGGAAGAUGUUCCUGUGGUGCCUGCACCGACUAGAGAGGAAACCAAUGAUGAUGAUCAAGGUACUUUGGAUCAAGUUACUACUGAACUUCGUAGGUCCAUGAGGACACGUUCCACACCAGAGUGGUAUGGCAAUCCUGUCCUAGAAAUCAUGUUGUUAGACAACGGUGAACCUUCGAACUAUGAAGAAGCAAUGGCGGGCCCAGAUUCCAACAAAUGGCUUGAUGGCAUGCAAUCCGAGAUAGGAUCCAUGUAUGAAAACAAAGUAUGGACUUUGACAGACUUGCCCGAUGAUCGGCGGGCAAUAGAAAACAAAUGGAUCUUUAAGAAGAAGACGGAUGUGGAUGGUAAUGUUACCAUCUAUAAAGCUCGACUUGUCGCUAAGGGUUAUCGACAAGUUCAAGGGAUUGACUACGAUGAGACAUUCUCUCCCGUAGCGAAGCUGAAGUCCGUCUGAAUCAUGUUAGCAAUUGCCGCAUACUAUGAUUAUGAGAUAUGGCAAAUGGACGUCAAAACGGCAUUCCUUAACGGUCAUCUUAAGGAAGAACUGUAUAUGAUGCAGCCGGAAGGUUUUGUCGACCUUGAGAAUGCUAACAAGGUAUGCAAACUCCAGCGAUCCAUUUAUGGGCUGGUGCAAGCAUCUCGGAGUUGGAACAUUCGCUUUGAUGAGAUGAUCAAAGUGUUUGGGUUUAUGCAGACUUAUGGAGAAGCCUGCAUUUACAAGAAAGUGAGUGGGAGCUCUGUAGCAUUUCUCACAUUAUAUGUAGAUGACAUACUUUUGAUGGAAAAUGAUAUAGAACUUUUGGACAACAUUAAGGCCUACUUGAAUAUGUGUUUUUCAAUGAAGGACCUUGGAGAAGAUGCUUACAUAUUAGGCAUCAAGAUCUAUAGAGAUAGAUCGAGACGCCUCAUAGGUCUUUCACAGAGUACAUACCUUGAUAAGAUAUUGAAGAAGUUCAAUAUGGAUCAGUCCAAGAAGGGGUUCUUGCCUGUGUUGCAAGGUGUGAAAUUGAGCUCGGCUCAAUGUCCGACCACGACAGAAGAUAGAGAAAAGAUGAGUGUCGUCCCCUAUGCCUCAGCCAUAGGGUCUAUCAUGUAUGCCAUGACCUGUACCAGACCUGAUAUAAACCUUGCCGUAAUUUUGGUAGGUAGGUACCAAAGUAAUCCCGGCAUGGAACACUAGACAGCGGUCAAGAACAUCUUAAAGUACCUGAAAAGGACUAAGGAUAUGUUUCUCGUAUAUGGAGGUGACGAAGAGCUUGUUGUAAAGGGUUACGUCGACGCUAGCUUCGACACAGAUCUGGAUGACUCUAAGUCACAAACCGGAUACGUGUAUAUUUUGAAUGGUGGGGCAGAAAGCUAGUGCAGUGGCAAGCAAAGCGUCGUGGCGGGAUCUACAUGUGAAGCGGAGUACAUGGCAGCCUCGGAGGCAGCGCAUGAAGCAAUCUGGGUGAAGGAGUUCAUCACCGACCUAGGAGUCAUACCCAAUGCGUCGGGGCCGAUCACACUCUUCUGUGACAACACUGGAGCUAUUGCACUUGCCAAGGAGCCCAGGUUUCACAAGAAGACCAGGCACAUCAAGCGUCGCUUCAACUCCAUUCGUGAAAAUGUUCAAGAUGGAGACAUAGAUAUUUGUAAAGUAUAUACGGACCCGAAUAUAGCAGAUCCGUUGACUAAACCUCUCCCUAGAGCAAAACAUGAUCAACACCAGAACGCUAUAGGUGUUCGAUUCAUCACAAUGUAACUAGAUUAUUGACUCUAGUGCAAGUGGGAGACUGUUGGCAAUAUGCCCUAGAGGCAAUAAUAAAAUGGUUAUUAUUAUAUUUGUCUGUUCAUGAUAAUUCUCUAUUGUUCAUGCUAUAAUUGUAUUAUCCGGAAAUCGUAAUACAUGUGUGAAUACAUAGACCACAACAAGUCCCUAGUGAGCCUUUAGUUGACUAGCUCGUUGAUCAACAGAUAGUCAUGGUUUCCCGACUAUGGACAUUGGAUGUCAUUGAUAACAAGAUCACAUCAUUAGGAGAAUGAUGUGAUGGACAAGACCCAAUCCUAAGCAUAGCACAAAGAUCAUGUAGUUCGUUUAGCUAGAGCUUUUACAAAUGUCAAGUAUCAUUUCCUUAGACCAUGACAUUGUGCAACUCCCGGAUACCAUAGGAGUGCUUUGGGUGUGCCAAACAUCACAACGUAACUGGGUGACUAUAAAGGUGCACUACGGGUAUCUCCAAAAGUGUCUGUUGGGUUGGCACGAAUCGAGAUUGGGAUUUGUCACUCCGUAUGACGGAGAGGUAUCUCUGGGCCCACUCGGUAAUGCAUCAUCAUAAUGAGAUCAAUGUGACCAUGUGUCUGGUCACGGGAUCAUGCAUUACGGUACGAGUAAAGUGACUUGCCGGUAACGAGAUUAAACGAGGUAUUGGGAUACCGACGAUCUAAUCUCGGGCAAGUAACGUACCAAUUGACAAAGGGAAAUGUAUACGGGAUUGAUUGAAUCCUCGAAAUCGUGGUUCAUCCGAUGAGAUCAUCGAGGAGCGUGUGGGAGCCAACAUGGGUAUCCAGAUCCCGCUAUUGGUUAUUGACCGGAGAGGCGUCUCGGUCAUGUCUGCAUGUCUCCCGAACCCGUAGGGUCUACACACUUAAGGUUCGGUGAUGCUAGGGUUGUAGAGAUAUAUGUAUGCAGUAACCCGAAAGUUGUUCGGAGUCCCGGAUGAGACCCCGGACGUCACGAGGAGUUCCGGAAUGGUCCGGAGGUGAAGAUUUAUAUAUGGGAAGUUCAGUUUCGGCCAUCGAGAAAGUUUCGGGGGUCACCGGUAUUGUACCAGGACCACCAGAUGGGUCACGGGGGUCCACUGGGUGGGGCCACCUAUCCCGGAGGGUCCCAUGGGCUGAAGUGGGAGGGGAACCAGCCCGUGGUGGGCUGGUGCCCCCCCUUUGGGCCCCCCUGCGCCUAGGGUUGGAAACCCUAGGGGUGGGGGGUGCCUCCACUUGCCUUGGGGGGCAAGCCACCCCCUUGGCCGCCGCCCCCCUUGGAGAUCCCAUUUCCUAGGGCCAGCGCCCCCAGGGGGCCUAUAUAAAGAGGGGGGAGGGAGGGCAGCCGCACUCCAAGUCUCGGGCGCCUCCCUCUCCGCACGCACCACCUCUCCCUCUCGCAGAAGCUUGGCGAAGCCCUGCCGAGAUCGCUGCUGCAUCCACCACCACGCCGUCGUGCUGCUGGAUCUUCAUCAACCUCUCCUUCCGCCUUGCUGGAUCAAGAAGGAGGAGCCGUCUUCCCAGCCGUACGUGUGUUGAACGCGGAGGUGCCGUCCGUUCGGCGCUAGGAUCUCCGGUGAUUUGGAUCACGACGAGUACGACUCCCUCAACCCCGUUCUCUUGAACGCUUCCGCUCGCGAUCUACAAGGGUAUGUAGAUGCAAUCCUCUCUCUCGUUGCUAGAUGACUCCAUAGAUUGAUCUUGGUGAAGCGUAGAAUUUUUUUAUUUUCCGCAACGUUCCCCAACACUACACAUGUCACACCAUUCCCCCUUCCCUUAUACUAGGUUUACAUCAUUAGAGGUCUCUCUACUCCACAUACACACACUCCCUAUCACACACAAACGCGUGCACAAACACACACAGACACGCACAAACACCCAUUUAUCUGGAUCCUCAUCUCUCCCCAUGCCCGCAUGUGUAUCUCACACACUCACUCUCUGAUUGUGUAUAUGUGUCUCCAUGUUACACAACACAAAUCCCCAUGUACAUGUCUCUCUCUAUCCUCCACACACAUAGACACAAAGAAUCUCUUACCAUUGCCUCAGUCUCUAGACAUAUCACACACGCACACUGUCUCUCUUUCUCUCUCGCAAACACGCUCAACAAGGGUUUCCCCAUGAAUAACUUACCGUCCAUUCAUCAACAGUCGUGGUAGUACGACGAACACGAGACGUGAAAAAGAAUAAAUCUACACGUGCUUAGCCCACCUAGUAUGACUACUAGGACUAGAGCAAGCCAAAAAGCGUGUCGCUGUCACCCCCUCAUCAGCGACGGGAAAACCUUUGUUUUACACAGUCGAGAAGUCAUUGUGCUAAGGCCCCACAUGCCGAGGCAUUGAAUAGAAUGUAGAUGCUAGUUUACGGAUACAAGUAUCGAUAAUACGUUUGUAUCUCCAUACUUAUAUUUCCUCUCAUAAAAAAUCGAGUUGGUGAUGAUGGUACGCUUGCCAUCUUGCAAUAUAGACCGUCCGAUCUAUAUCUGAUGGAUGGAAAUUAAACUAAAAGAUACCCGCACCUCUCUCCACAUUUGCAGACAAGGCCUUCCCUCAUUCAUCCUUGUUUCCAACAACCUCAUUGUUGAGCAAUUAAGAAAAAGCCUCUGGAACAAACUGGUCUGGUGGCCGCUGCAGGCAUCGUCAAUCCCCAUGCCUCCGCUCAGCUCGACCACCAAUCGCCACCACGCCCCACUCCUCUUCACUCCUAUUUCUCGAGAUGUUAUUAGUUUUUACACAUGGGAUUACUCCCGCAUGGGUCAAUCACAACAAGUGUUUUAUAAAAAAAUGCAUCUUGAUGUUUCGUCCAAUGCACGGAUCUUGCUAGUACUCCUAUAGAAGACUAAGUUGGUGAUGAUGGUGUGUCUGCCAUCUAUCGUUUCUGACCAUUAGAUCUACAUCUAAUGACUGUGAGGUAAGUUGUUGCCUUUUCUCACCAACAUCCCACUUCUCUACCAAUUUGCAGAAAAAACCCAUAGUUAGUAUCUUAAAACCAACCAUAUCCCUCCUUCACCUCACCAAAACAGCCCAAGGAAUAUAUUCUAAUUGAAACAUAAUAUAUCUCUAGUGAUAUAUGUAUAUCAAAAUUAGAGUGUUUUGUAUCAAGUUUGUGAAUAAGUAUUAUCCUAAUUAUGAUCGGUUGCAACGCACAUGAACAUUGCUAGUAUUUCCAACCAUGCAAAAAAAUUCCUAGUAUUUCCAUAGUUUCGAGUUUUCCAUCAAGAUAUUAGUCACUCGUGGUUGAUAUUUACUUUCAACCAUGUACACAUAUGCACUAUGUAACUAGCCUUGCUUAUUGGCUUCCAAAGCUUAACUUUCACUCCUACUUACAAUAUGUAGAGUAUUUAACAAAAAUCUACCACUUUCAACCAGCCCUAGGAAGAAUCUAUUGAACAAAAAAUAGCAAAAACAUACCUAAAAUUUCUUAAUCCACGCCAAAAACUACUACCUAGUGCUGAUUAGGCUCGUUUAAACCCGUUUAUGACAGGGUUGGUCCACACGUCCGCGCUGACGAGGCAGCUUAAACCAACACAUUUUGUUUGACCUUUGACACGAGGGACCCACAUCUGACCUUCUAUCUUGUUAUUCCCCCUCAGAUCAUUAUUUUUCAUGAACAUUACUUCAAACAGUACUGAUGCGUGUUCGUCGGUGGCGCCGGUGAUGAGCGAGUUGGCCGCCGCUCCACCGGACGGGCCGGAUGCCGCGCUGGCCUCCGCACGGGUUCGUAGGCUGGCCCGAGCAUGACUCACGAGCGAGCAAACCGCCGCGCUGGCUUUCUCUCGAGCCAAAUGGCUGGCCUUAGCGCGGCACACGCGCGAGCAAACCGCCACGCCGCCGUGCAAAUCUAGCUAGCAAACCUUGCAGACAAGCAGCUGGACGGAGCUAUCUUGGUUAGCUAGCGGCCGUGAGUGCCGGAUGGAGCUGGCAUCCGGGCUGCCGCAAGAUGGUCUCUGCACCGCCGGUGGUUUUGACUUCGCCUUCUGCCCGCGGCAGUAGCUGCGUCCCAUGGCCAAGGAUGACUAGGUGGACGGGCAGGAGGUAGGAGGUCACUCGGGGAUUUUUGUGCAGACUGACAUGCAGGUCCCACAAGUCAUAACGUCUAACUUCUCGAUCGAAUAGAAGGUGUUGACUCAAUGGGCGAUGAGACGUCUCCAACGUAUCUAUAAUUUUUGAUUGUUCCAUGCUAUUAUAUUACCCCUUUUGGAUGUUUAUGGGCUUUAUUUCACACAUUUAUAUCAUUUUUUGGGACAAACCUACUAACUUGAGGCCCAGCCCGCAUUGCUGUUUUUUUGCCUAUUUCAGUAUGUCGAAGAAAAGGAAUAUCAAAUGGAGUCCAAACGGAAUGAAACCUUCGGGAGCGUGAUUUUUGGAACGAACGUGAUCCAGAGGACUUGGAGUGAAAGUCAAGAAGUCGCCGAGGCGACCACAAGACAGGAGGGUGCGCCCCCUAUCUUGUGGGCCCCUCGGGCGGCCACCGACGUACUUCUUCCUCCUAUAUAAGCCUACGUACCUCGAAAACAUCCAGGGAGCCAACGAAACACAAUUUCCACCACCGUAACCUUCUGUAUCCGCGAGAUCCCAUCUUGGAGCCUUCGUCGGCGCUCUGCCGGAGGGGGAAUCGACCAUGGAGGGCUUCUACAUCAACACCAUAGCCCCUCUGAUGAGUUGUGAGUAGUUUACCAUAGACCUUCGGGUCCAUAGUUAUUAGCUAGAUGGCUUCUUCUCUCUUUUUGGAUCUCAAUACAAUGUUCUCCCCCUCUCUUGUGGAGAUCUAUUCGAUGUAAACUCUUUUUGCGGUGUGUUUGUCGAGAUCCGAUGAAUUGUGGGUUUAUGAUCAAGUUUAUCUAUGAGAAAUAUUUGAAUAUCCUCUGAAUUCUUUUAUGUAUGAUUAAGUUAUCUUUGCAAGUCUCUUCGAAUUAUCAGUUUGGUUUGGCCUAUUAGAUUAAUCUUGCAUGCCAUGGGAGAAGUGCUUAGCUUUGGGUUCAAUCUUGCGGUGUCCUUACCCAGUGACAGAAAGGGUUGCAAGGCACGUAUUGUAUUGUUGCCAUCGAGGAUAAAAAUAUGGGGUUUAUAUCAUAUUGCAUGAGUUUAUCCCUCUACAUCAUGUCAUCUUGCUUAAUGUGUUACUCUGUUCUUUAUGAACUUAAUACUCUAGAUGCAGGCAAGAGUCGGUCGAUGUGUGGAGUAAUAGUAGUAGAUGCAGGCAGGAGUAGGUCUACUUGUCACAGACGUGAUGCCUAUAUACAUGAUCAUGCCUAGAUAAUCUCAUAAUUAUUCGCUUUUCUAUCAAUUGCUCAAUAGUAAUUUGUUCACCCACCGUAAUACUUAUGCCAUCUUGAGAGAAGCCACUAGUGAAACCUAUGGCCCCCGGGGUCUAUCUUUUAUCAUAUAAGCUUUCAAUCUACUUUUAUUUGCAUCUUUACUUUUUGCAUCUAUAUUAUAAAAUACCAAAAAUAUAUUUAUCUUAUCAUACGAUCUCUAUCAGAACUCACUUUCGCAAGUGGCCGUGAAGGGAUUGACAACCCCUUUAUUGCGUUGGUUGCGAGUUCUUUGUUUGUUUGUGUAGGUGCGUGGGACUUUUGAGGAGCCUCCUACUGGAUUGAUACCUUGGUUCUCAAAAACUGAGGGAAAUACUUAUGCUACUAUUGCUGCAUCACCCUUUCCUCUUCAAGGAAAACCAACGCAAGCUUAAGAUGUAGCAAGAAGGAUUUUUGGCGCCGUUGCUGGGGAGGUCUUCGCUCAAGGUAAGAUCAAUUCGCCGGCCUUCCUUUUGAAGAUGCCGCUACUCAUCUAAACAACUUUGUUGACUUGUGUGAUAUGCAAAAGAAGAAAGAUACGGAUAACGAUAUUGUUAAAUUGAAGUUAUUUCCGUUUUCACUUAGAGAUCGUGCUAAAGUUUGGUUUUCGUCUUUGCCUAAAAUAGUAUUGAUCCUUGGAACAAGUGCAAAGAUGCUUUUAUCUCUAAGUAUUUUCCUCCCGCUAAGAUUAUCACUCUUAGGAAUGAUAUUAUGAAUUUUAAACAACUUGAUCAUGAGAAUGUUGCCCAAUCUUGGGAAAGAAUGAAAUUGAUGAUUCACAAUUGCCCUACUCAUGGUUUGAAUUUAUGGAUGAUCAUACAAAUUUUUUAUGCCGGUUUGAACUUUGCUUCUAAAAAUCUUUUAGAUUUGGUGGCGGGAGGCACAUUUAUGGAAAUCACAUUAGGAGAUGCUACAAAACUUCUUGAUAAUAUUAUGGCUAAUUAUUCUCAAUGGCACACCGAAAGAUCUUCUAGUAAAAAAAGUGCAUGCUAUAGAAGAAAUCAAUGUUUUGAGUGGAAAGAUGGAUGAACUUAUGAAAUUGUUUGCUACUAAGAAUACUCCUCUUGAUCCCAAGGAUAUGCCUUUGUCUACUUUGAUUGAGAAUAAUAAUGAGUCUAUGGAUGUGAAUUUUGUUGGUAGGAAUAGUUUUGGAAAUAAUGCUUAUAGAGGAAACUUUAAUUCUAGACCGUUCCCUAGUAAUUCCUCUAAUAAUUAUGGAAAUUCCUACAAUAAUUCUUAUGGUAAUUUUAAUAAGAUGCCCUCUGAUUUUGAGAAUAGUGUGAAAGAUUUUAUGAUUUGUCAAAAGAAUUUUAAUGCUUUGCUUGAAGAAAAAUUGCUCAAAGUUGAUGAUUUGGCUAGGAACAUUGAUAGACUUUCGCUUGAUGUUGAUUCUCUUAAACUUAGAUCUUCUCCUCCUAAGCAUGAUAUCAAUGAGUCUCUCAAAUAAAUGAGAAUUUUGAUUGAUGAGUGCAAGGAAAGAACCGCUAGAUUGCGUGCUAAGAAAGAUUGCUUUAUAAAGGCGUGUUCUUCUAGUUUCCAUGAAAAUAAUGAUGAAGAUCUUAAAGUUAUUGAUGCGUCUCCUAUUAUAUCUUUGUUUCACAAUAUGAAUCUUGAUAAUAAUGGGACGAAGAUGAGGUAACUUUAGUUAGAAGGCGUCCCAAGAAUUUGGAGUUUUUAGAUUUUGAUGCUAAAUUUGGUAAAAGUGGGAUUGGAGAGGUCAUGACUUUAAAUAGCAUUGAACCCACUAUCUCUGCUUUCAAGGAAUUUGAUUAUGAUAAUUGUUCUUUAGAAGGUUGUAUUUCCUUGUUGCAAUCCGUUGUUAACUCUCCUCAUGCUUAUAGUCAAAAUAAAGCUUUUACCAAACAUAUUGUUGAUGCCUUGAUGCAAUCUUAUGAUGAAAAACUCAAUUUGAAGUUUCUAUACCUAGAAAACUUAAUGAUGAGUGGGAACCUACUAUAAAGAUUAGAAUUAAAGAUCAUGAGUGUUUUGCUUUGUGUGAUUUGGGUGCUAGUGUUUCCACGAUUACGAAAACUUUAUGUGAUAUUCUAGGUUUCCAUGAUCUUGAUGAUUGCUCUUUAAAUUUGCACCUUGCGGAUUCCACCAUUAAAAGGCCAAUGGGAAGGAUCAAUGAUGUUCUCAUCUUGCAAAUAGAAAAUUGGUGCCCGUAGAUUUUAUCGUUCUUGAUAUAGAUUGCAAUCUUUCUUGCCCUAUUAUUCUUGGUAGACCUUUCCUUAGAACGAUUGGUGCGAUUAUUGAUAUGAAGGAAGGGAAUAUUAGAUUCCAAUUUCCAUUAAAGAAAGGCAUGGAGCACUUUCCAAGAAAGAAAGUUAAAUUACCUUAUGAAUCUAUCAUGUGAGCUACUUAUGAAUUUAGUGCCAAAGAUGGCACCACUUAGAUCUAUCUUCGCUUUUAUGCCUAGCUAGGGGCGUUAAACGAUAGCGCUAGUUGGGAGGCAACCCAAUUUUAUUUGUGUUUUUUUGUUUUUGUUCCUGUUUAUUAAUAAAUUUUGCAUCUACCUUCUGUUUAGAUGUGUUUUUAUGUUUUAAUUAGUGUUUGUGCCAAGUAGAACCUAUAGAAUAACCUAUGAUGAUAGUUGAUUUGAUUCUGUUGAAAAACAGAAACUUUGCAUGCACGAAUUUAAUUUUGUUAAAUCACAGAAACGUGCUUUUGCAUUGAUUUUUUUUUUGCUUCUAAUCAAUAGACAAAUUUUUCAGAACUUCCUAUUUUGGUAGGAGUUUUAGAGUUCCAGAAGUUUGUGUUAGUUACAGAAUGCUACAAACUGUUCUGUUUUGGACAGAUUCUGUUUUUCGUGUGUUGUUUGCUUAUUUUGAUGCAUCUAUGGCUAGUAAAAUAGUUUAUAAACCAUAGAGAAGUCAGAAUACAGUAGGUUUAACACCAAAAUAAAUAAAGAAUGAGUUCAUUACAGUACCUUAUGUGGUGGUUUUGUUUUCUUUCACUAACGGACCUUCUAAGAUUUCCUGUUGAGUUUUGUGUUGUGAAGUUUUCAAGUUUUUGGUAAAGGUUUUAUGGACUAUGGAAUAAGGAGUGGCAAGAGCCUAAGUUUGGGGAUGCCAAAGGCACCCCAAGAUAUUCAAUAAUAGCCAAAAGCCUAAGCUUGGGGAUGCCCCGGGAAGGCACCCCCUCUUUCGUCUUCGUUCAUUGGUAACUUUACUUGGAGCUAUAUUUUUAUUCGCCACAUGAUAUGUGUUUUGCUUGGAGCGUCGUGUAUUAUAUUAGUCUUUGCUUUUUAGUUUACCACAAUCAUCCUUGCUGUACACACCUUUUGGGAGAAUCCCACUUGAUUAGAAUUUGCUAGAAUACUCUAUGUGCUUCACUUAUAUCUUUUGAGCUUGAUAGUUUUUGCUCUAGUGCUUCACUUAUAUCUUUUAGAGCACGGAAGUGGCUUAAUUUUGAAGAAAUUGCUAGUCUCUCAUGCAUCACUUAUAUUAUUUUGAGAGUCUUUUAGAACAGCAUGGUAUUUGCUAUGGUUACAAAUUUGGUCCUAGAAUGAUGAGCAUCCAAGUUGGGUAUAAUAAAAACUAUCAUAGGAAAUGAAUUGGAUGCUAUGAUCAAUUUGAUGCUUGAUAAUUGUUUUGAGAUAUAAAGGUAGUAAUGUUAGGGUCAUGCUAGUGGGUAAUUAUGAAAUUGAGAAAUACUUUUGUUGAAGUUGGCAAGUCCCGUAGCAUGCAUGUAUGGUAAAAGUUGUGUGACAAAUUUGUUGCAUGAGGUGCUCUUUUGAUUGUCUUCCUUAUGAGUGGCAGUCGGGGACAUGCGAUUGUCUUUUCCUACCAAUCUAUCCCUCUAGGGGCAUGCGUAGUAGUACUUUGCUUUGAGGUCUAAGUAGACUUUUGCAAUAAUUAUUUGAGUUCUUUAUGACUAAUGUGAGUCCAUGGAUAUACGCACACUCAUCCCUCCACUUUGCUAGCCUCUAUUAUACCGCGCAACUUUCGCCGGUAUCAUGAACCCAUUAUUUACCUUCCUCAAAACAGCCACCAUACCUACCUAUUAUGGCAUUUCCAUAGCCAUUCCGAGAUAUAUUGCCAUGCAAAUUUUCACCGUUCCGUUUAUUAUGACACGUUCCAUCAUUGUCAUAUUGCUCUUUGCAUGAUCAUGUAGUUGACAUCGUAUUUGUGGCAAGGCCACCUUCAUAAUUUUCAUACAUGUCGCUCUUGAUUCAUUGUAUAUCCCGGUACACCGCCGGAGGCAUUCAUAUAGAGUCAUAUCUUAUUCUAGCUUUGAGUUGUAAUUCUUGAGUUGUAAAUCAAUAAAAGUGUGAUGAUCUUCAUUAUUAGAGCAUUGUCUCAGUGAGGAAAGGAUGAUGAAGACUAUGAUUCCCCCACAAGUCGGGAUGAGACUUCAGACUUUACAAAAAGAAAAAAAGAAAAAAAAA
Molecule: long non-coding RNA, 79255 nt
Filed under: Triticum aestivum (bread wheat)
Lineage: Eukaryota; Viridiplantae; Streptophyta; Magnoliopsida; Poales; Poaceae
Description: long non-coding RNA (TAES_LNC022743)
Source: RNAcentral